UACGGCUCCACGACUGUUGCUCAAACCCCAUCACCAGCACCUUCAGGUCCAACCAACAUCACCGCAAUCCUCGAGAAGGCUGGUCAGUUCACAACCUUGAUUCGGUUAAUGAAAAGCACCCAAGAGGCUGACCAAAUCAACACACAACUAAACAACUCAAACCAAGGCCUAACAGUAUUUGCACCACCUGACAACGCCUUUACUAACCUCAAAGCAGGCACGCUGAAUUCACUCAGCGAUCAACAAAAGGUCCAACUGGUGCAAUUCCACAUCAUUCCAAAUUUCUUUUCCAUGUCAAGCUUCCAAACUGUGAGUAAUCCCUUGCGUACUCAGGCCGGUAACAGUGCCGACGGCGAGUUCCCGCUAAAUGUGACAACAUCAGGGAAUCAAGUGAACAUAACAACAGGGGUUAAUACUGCAACAGUGGCUAACACUAUAUUCACUGAUGGCCAGUUAGUUGUGUAUCAGGUGGAUCAGGUCCUUCUGCCAUUAGAUCUCUUUGGUACAGCGGCAGCACCAGCACCUGCACCUUCAAAGCCUGAUAAAGAUGUUCCAGCCAAAGCUCCUGCAGGGUCAAAGGAAGAUGCCUCUGUUGAUGCUUCAGGUGCAACCAUUGCAACUGUAUCUGUCAGUGUCGUGCUGAUCGCAGCAAUUUCAUUGAAGCUAUGAGUUUUUGUUUUCGGAAAUUGAUAAGGAGUUCUUGUUUUAUUGAUCUGUUGUGAUUUGAACUGAGGUGGAUUAUUCUUUGGUUACUCUCCCUCUCCUCUUUUAUGUAAUGUACCAUGAUUGGCUGAGAUCUUCCUCUCCACUCAAUUUUGUGAUCUUAUGUUCAAAUUUAAAGUUAAUUGCAAUAAAAUUCCGAUCCUGUAGAUUGAAAUUUUGGAUUGAAAUCUAAUCAAUACAAUCACCAAUUAUAGAGAAUCGGAUGCAAAACGAUAAUAUAAUAAUGGAGGAUGCAACAGAAAGAUGAAUCGGAGCUCAAUAAUUUCAUUGAAUCAACCAAUUCAAGUUAUUGAACUGGGAAGAUUUUGGAAGCAAAACUUUAUCGAGGAAUAAACUGAUCCCGUGACAAACCCUCUUUUAAUUGGCCAUGAUGUGCCUGUUAGUAUCAUUAUUCAAAUUGGUGUAAGGACUAUGUUACAAUAAAAGCAAAGAGAAGAGCAGACUACAAGGAUUGAUCAAUUAUCUGAGUAGAUGGAGUCAGUGCUAGCUACUCUCUAGUCUUUUGCAACUAAUAAGGAAAAUAAAGGGACACGAGGGAAAACUACUGUCCUGAUGGGAUUCAUUUACCACAAAUAAACUACAAUCGUGGAGAGAUAAUGAGUAGCAAUAAAGUUUCAAGUGACGAUACAAUAUAGCUUUACCAAGAAUGAACUACCAAUAUUUGACGGUGAGAAUCCAAAGGUGUGGAUGAGGAAAUGUAGGAAAUUCUUCGAGAGAUGCAUUAGACUCUCUUACAUUAAUAGAUUCAUUAUUAGAAAAUUGAUAAAUAUAAAUGGAAAUAUCGAGAGGAUAUUUUCAUUGGUAAAUUUCCGAUGAAUUUUACAGACGGAAAUAUUCCCUCGGUAUAUACCGAGGGAAUUACAUUGGAAAAAAAAUAUAAUUAAAACAAAGCAAAAAAAAUAAUGAUGUGUCAUUUAUACAAACAGAUACCAACGAAAUAAAUUUCAUCGGUAAAAUCGUUGGUAAACUGUGAACAAUGUUCAUCAUGUCAAUUACAAAGGGAAUCACUAAAGGAAAAUUCCGUCGGUAUUUUCCAGAGAGCUCUGGAACUGUUCACUUCCCAAUUGCACUGUUAAUUACUGUUUUUUAUAGACAAAAUCACCGAUGGAUUGAAAAGUCGUCGGUGUUAUUUGACGGUUUUUUGAAAAUUUUUGAUUAAAUUAAAAUUUUAAAUUAAUAUUACAGAUGGAAUCACCGACGGAUUGAAAAGUCGUCGGUGAUAUUUGGCGGUUUCUGAAAAUUUUUGAUUAAAUUGAAAAUUUAAAUUAAAUAUUACAGACGGAAUCACCGAUGAAAAAUAUUAAUAUUUAAUUAUCCAUCGGUAAAACCGUCGGUAAAACACCCCAAUAAGAAACAUAUAAUCCCUAAUUUCACAACAGACGGGGCUCCUUUGUUGUUGUUCUUCUUCUCCAUAUGUAAAAAACAUCAAUAUCCAUUUCUUUCUCUUUUCUCUCCUCAACUCCUUCUCUUUUCCUCCAUGCUCAGGUAUGUAUUCUUCUUUUUUUUUUCUUUUUUCUUCUCAGUUUUUUUUAAUUAAUAUACUUUAUGAAUUUAUUUUUCUCUUUUUAGCUUCACUUGCAACCACAUUAAGGUAAGAUUUUUCUUUUUUCUUUUUUUUUUUGUGUUUUUUUUCACUAUAUUUGUUAUUUUAUUUUAUUUUUUAUUGUUUUUUUUCUUAAUAAUUGUAUCAAUAUUGUUGUAGGAUUUUUUUUUCAUGUGAUUUUUUUCUUCUUUUUUACAAGCGUUUUGAGUAUUAUAGAGUGAUGAUUUAUAUUAAUUUUAUUAUUUUAUAGUUUUGUAAAAUGGAUUUUUUAAAAAUAUUUUUAAAUAAUUACUGAUGGAAUUACAUACGGUAUUUUUCUGAGGGAUAUACCAACAGAAUAAAGCGGAUAAUUUUUUUUUUGCGCUUUUUUCGUCAGUAAAUCCAUCGGUAAUAAUAUUUUUUUAUUACCAACAGACAAAAAUUACCGACAAAAGAUUCACUGACGAAGUAUUUUCGUCAGUGAUUUCGUUGGUAAAUUAAUUACCAACAGAAUGAUAGUACAAAUACCGACCAAAAAUUCUGUCGAUAAAUAUAAAGAUUGUGGUAGUGAUUGCUUUAACUUAUUUGGAAGGAAGAACCGUGACAUGGUUUGAAGGGCUUUUGUUGGGAAACAAUGACCUAACCAAUUAGGAAGAAUUUUCGAAGGCUAUUUAUGUAAGAUUUGGCACUUGCAGUGAUGUAGUAGAGGAGUUUAACAAAAUAGAUCAAGAGAGAAAGGAGUUGAUGAAUACAUUGAGAGAUUUAAGGAGUUGAAGUCUUUAAAUGAAUGCUCUCAACCCCAUGUUUCUAAAGACAUAUUAUGUAUCUAGCUUUAUUAGUGGAUUAAAGGAACUCAUUAAACCAAUGUUGAAGAUUCUUAAGUCCAUCAUUUUGUAAGCUUUUGAACAAGCUAAAUGGCAGGAAAAAUCUACUGCUGCAUUGGCAAGGGGGAGCAUAAUGGUUUCAAAGAUCAAUUCCUAAUUCAAGAUUUAGAAACCAAUAAAUAUUUCCAAACAAUCAUCUCAUAAUCCUUACGAGCAAAGAAUAAAACUUAGAUUAUGCUUUAAAUAUGAAGAUAAGUUUUCCUUUGAAUACAAAUGUAGUGUUAAGGUUCAUAAAAAAAAGAUAAAAGUUCUUUCAUUUAUUUAAAAAAUAUUUUUUCAAAUUUUCUCUUAUAUUUAUCUCUCCUCCUAUCUUAUUAUAGUUUAAAAUAUAUAGGUUCUAACAUCAUUAUAAAAGACUAUAAAAUGACACUGAAAGAGGUCGCAUGCGCCACCAAAACAACGACCCAUAAAGCAAAUAAAAAAUAUAUCAUGAAGUGAACAUCUCAUGAUUAUAUUUAAUCAAUUAAUUUAAUCUAAAAACAAAAUUUCUUUUUAAAAAAGCUAAAUUUAAUAAAGAACGACAAAUAAAAAAACCCAAGAUAACUCAGGUCAUCUUUAAAAUUAGUGAAAAAUCAUAUAGAAAACUACUAAAAAAAUUAAUGUAACCCAAUCUCCAAUUAAAUAAAUGCUGAAAGAUAAAACUAAAAAACACAUGAGCUUAAAAGAAAGAGAAAAAAACCAAGCAAACCCGAGCAAAUCUUCAAAACCUGAAUUAAUCUUCCAAACUUGCAACUUGUCAAAUCAUAUACCUAGGCUCAAUUCCCAACCAAUGAAAUAAAAAAAAUAUCAUUUUAAUUUUUUUUACAAAGUAAAUAAAAUAGCAACAAAAAGAAUGAGAAUCAAAUUUGAUAGAUGAAAAAAUUAAAUGAGGAUGAAAUUAAAAAAUAAUAAUUUUAUAAACUAUUUCAAAUAAAACAAAUAGUAAUAAAAAAAAUAAGGACUAAAUCUGAAAAAAUAAUUAAAGGGCUACUUUGAAAAUUUGAAAGGUUAGACAUGAAAAUCAAGGAAGAGAGAGAGAAAAAAAUAUCAUUAAUGCUAAAUUGAAGGUCCGUAAGCCACACACUCCAUCUAAGGAUGGAGGGCCGCCGAAACGAUUCGAUCACCACCUUAAAAGCCAUUGUUUGGCCACCGAAUGCCCCAUCAAGUUCCACUUAAAAAACAUGUAUACAUCCCAUAUGCUUGUGCUUGCAAUGCACGUGCUGGCUAGUUUUCUUUAAUAAUAUUUUAUAAUUAUUAAAAUAUUAAAUUUUCUCUUAGUCAACUUAAUUAUAAAAAAAACAAGAAUAAAAGUAAAAAUAAAAACUCUCGAUGCCAAUAAAGAAAUUUAUUUAGAGUAAUUUAGCUAUUUUACUAUGCUUUAAAAAAUAAAAAUUUUAAAAAGUUCAUAAAAGCUAGCUAAAUAAAAUUUUCUUUUAAGAGUAAUUUAAUCAUUAUACAUCAACCCCAAUCUCCAUUCAUUUCUCCUUUAUUUUUCAAACCCAAGCACGGUAGCUCCCUCCACAACUGCCAACCAUACAAACAAAGUAAACAAACAAAAAUCCAUCUUCAUCUUCUCUAUUGUUACAGGAGACACAAUGCGCAUCCACCUUCAAUAACUGCUCUAUCAAAUAUUUUUCAGCCAGUCCAAUAAUUUGUUUUAAGAAGGGGAAAAUGUCAUUAAUUACCCUAUUCCAAUCCAUAAGUUUGGGUACACAGGGAUCCCUUUAGUUUCUUUUUUAAUACUAUAAAAUUUCUGGAUUCCUUCUUAGACAAGUUCAGUCUCCAUUCAUUUAGCCAGGGAAACAUCGUAUCCUUCUCCACUCUUCUUGCUUCCCCUUCUAACAAAGACAUUACAAAUUGUACUUGGAUUUAACCCAGAGUUUUCUCAGGUUAAAUCAUAUUUUGGAUUUAUUAAAAAAUGAUUCAAAUUAAUUGGUCAAAUAAGUAAAAAUAUUUUUUUAACGUAACAAAAAAUAUCAUGGUCAUAAAUAACUAUUUGACAUUGUUAUUAAACAUGGUCUAGUUGGUCAACCUUGAAACCUUUCAAUAUGACUAUUUAUCAGCUGGGUUUUAAAAUUAAAUUAUGUGAGAGUUAGCUCGAUGUGACCCGGUCGACUUGGUCAAUUCAAAAGCAACAUAGUCAGCAAAUAAAAAAAAAUCUGAUGAUGAAAUUGAUAGAAAAAACCUUCCGACCCAGCUUCUUAUCUAAUUCAAGUUUAAAAUUAAACCAUGUGAAAGUUGUCUCGACAUGACUCAAUUGACUUGGUCAGUUCAAAGAAAGCUCAACUGAUCAAUAAAAUAUUUUUAGGAUGAAAUUGAGAAAAAAAAUGUAGUUAACAUAAAAAAAUCUCUCAACCAAACUCGAUUAUGUGAUUGUCUAUUUUUAUUUUUAUCUUUUAGUUAAAAAAAUAGUUUUGAAAAAAAAACAUGUUAUUAAAUUUUAGAAAGUUCAUGGAUAUGUUGACGGUACGACAAGUUAACUUUUUUUUUAAUUUUUUUUUAUUAUUCAAUAUUAAACUGAUAAAUUGAAUCUUUUGGUCUUAUUUAAAUACAUUCAUGGUGGUAUUUAUAGAUAAUAUUUUAGCUUGUAUAUGAAAUAUAAAUAACAUCUGAAGCAUGUAUUGAAAAUCUUGAGGAAUCAUUAAAUAUAUGCCAAGCUGGGAAAACGUGAGUUGUGCCAAAUAAAUAAUAAGAAAGGUUGAGUUAGGCUGACAGGGGAAAGAGUUUGGUUAGGCUGGCCUACUUUCCUUUUUCUUUUCCCUUUCCUCUCCAUCUAGCCUCGGUUGGCCUAGUGGGGUAUGAUGGGCUAGUUUCCAGUUCACCUCCUCUUCUCCCUUUUCUCUUCUUUCUCCUUUUUUAUUCUCUCCCUUUAUCCUCCUUUCUUCUUUCUUUUCUCUUGGUUGGGCCACGAACCUCUAAGUUGGUUGGACCUGCAGCUAGCCAGGCUUGGUUAGGUCUGGUUGGGCCUAUUGUCAGGUUGCUUUUUUUUUUUGCCCUACUGAUGGCACAGAACAAUUAACUAGCUAUAGGUUUAACGUACUAUUGACCAUUGAUCUUUGAUGGCACUUGUCGCUGUCAUCUUAUUGUAGAUUAACAAAUUUCAUGAGGGUUCCAUUUGAAGACGAGUUAAUGAGUUGAUUGAUCUCUCUUGUUGGUAUUACUAUUAGUUUUCUUGUGAGGCUAAGAACAAGAAAUCUUACUAUAAGGGUUUGAUUUUUCGUUCUUUUUUUUAAAUAACAAUUCAACGCCAGGAUCAAAAUUUAGUUGUCCAAAACCAGUUCGAUGUUAGUGCAACAUCCCAUAAAGACUGAGAGAUUGUCAUUUUGAAACAGUUUUCAAACUCCAAAGAUAUAGCUCUGCCCAGGUCUCGAAAACAUGGUCGUGACAAGUACCAAUAAAAAGGUGAUACUCAUUACUAUAAAGUACUUUCUCUUAUUCAAACCUCUAAAAAAUACACACCCUUUCUGGUUAUAAAUAAUUUAUAGUAAAUGGGAAAUAUUGGUAAAGGUUACUCUAACUAUACAUACUUCGAUUCUUUCUAAGAAUGCCCGUUUCAUCUCCUUGCCAAAAUGUCUGUCAUAAAAAGGCAUUAAUGGAAAGUCAAAUAUGUGUUGCUGCUCAUAGCGACCCUCCAACGGUUUGUUAGGGUUAACAGUGCACCAUAAACAAUAGGAGGAGUUCACAUACAAUACUGGUCCCCUUAAAAACUGUCUGAAAGAGACCUAUGUCGCUAGCUUUCUAGCUAGCUUGUUAGGGCAAAAAAAAAAAAAAAAACAUCUUUCUAGGAUUAUUAGGCAAAACCUAAAGGGGACAAUGAAAGUGUUUGAGACAUGGAAAAUGGAAAGGCGACCUCACAGACGCAGUUUUCAACGAAGUUAAAAUUGAACCACAAAUAUUGUGUAAUUAAAAUGGCUUUCUAACUGGAUUAUGGAUGAGCUUAUCUUCCUUUAUAGCAUAGAUUUGCUUGCAACUUGUUAAUUAGUGGUAUAAUUAACCCAGCCUUGCCAGUGUGCAAGAAUCCCCCACUUCCCAUGCAUCUUUGAAAGCCAUCAGUCUGACCUUCAAAUUCAAGCAGUAAUUUGUUGAGGCGGCUUUGGAACCAUGUCCUGGUUUGGGUGAUUGGGACUUUUUUUUUGAAAAAAAUAGAUUUUUUUUUAAUUAUCCCAAAACCUGUUUGAACGAGUACAUAUAUAAUAUUAUCUCUGUCCUAAACGAGCAGUUUUUUAAUUUUGUUUUUAUCUCUAAGGGAAACGCAACAGUAUUCUACCAAACUUUCAUGGAAUUCCUUGGGUUGGAUCGGACGACCGAAUUGUUAGAUAGAAUAUACGAAUUUUUAUUCUCAUGUAUGUAUAGGAAUUAGGAAGUUGAUCAUGCAUGAGUUAUAUUUUAUUCUUAUAGGAAUUUUCAUUCAUGGAUAUACCUGAGUUAAUUAUUAUUUUUAAUCCAAACAUGCUUGAGAUAAUUAUUAUUUCAUUAUUUGCCUUGCUUUAAUUAGUAAGUUAUGAUAUGAAUUAGAAGGAAACUACCAUACGAGUAUCAUAUAGAUCACUUGCUUCAUAGAAAUCCAUGUCUACUUUCCGAGAUUUUUUAGGGUGAUAAUAUAGGUUUUGUACUUGACAUUUUGACGUAUAACACUUGAUUAACUCUCAUUGCCAAUAAUGACUUGCCAUGGGGAAAAAACCAUUAAUUCCAUUUUAGUCAAUCAGGAAUUUUCACAAUCCCAUCAUACUGCCUUCGACAAAUCAUACUUCUUCUUCUUCUUCUUGACCCCUAAAUUUCUUCCUAGUCUUCCUUCGGCCAUAAUCAACACUAGAAAAAAUCAAAAGGGUUUCGCCAUACGCAGUACUACCUAGAUUCUCCCUAGUUAAAAGAGACCCUAGAAUACACGUGUACACAGCUUGAUCUUAGCCAAAAAGAGAGAGAGAGAGAGGGAGAGACGUGUAAAGCCUAAUCUCCCCAAGACUUCGAUUAUUAUAAUAUAUAUUAAACAAAUGGAACACCAACUUAUUAGUUGGUGCACAUUGUUUUCGAUCUUAAACUAUAGCAAAGACUUGGUUUUUCCUUCUUCCAAAAACCCACCAACGUUGACGAGGUACCCGGAUUUCGUUGACGAUCAGUCAGCGAUAUGUCGUUGUUUUCCGUGCCUUUCAAUUUCAAUAAAGAAAGAAAAAAUGAUCCAAGUAGGAGUAUACGAUAAGAGCGUUAAGACAGAAAAUAAAACAACAAGAAAAUAAAAACAACAAGAAAAACAACGAGAACAUGCAUGACUUGGAGUUUGUUCAUUGUUCAGUCUUUUUCUGACAUGUUUCAUGCACUGGGCCACCACCAGUAAUCACGAGCUGCCCUUCCCUUCACCACCAUUUCUACCGAGCCCAACUCUGCUGUUUUAGCCGGGAUUUUAAAACAGGCCUUAUGCAAUUCACGUAGCGUGCAAGAUCAUCAAGGAUUGACAGUGAAAUGGUUCAAGCUCAUGGCUGAACUUAUUGAAGCAAACUUCGCUAGGUCUUGUGGUAAAAAUGGACGACUGGAUUCACUACUCAUACCCAGAAAAUCUCUUGUUAAACCACUCUCGAUAGAAUUUGAACCUCUUUGAUGCUUCAACUGAGUCUGGUCAUUUUGUAGUUUUCCACUUGUUUGCAUCAUAAGUUGAUCAAGGUUGCUUGAUGUACCCAUCAUUGCAUCACUCAUUGCUACAGUACUAUUUGUUGUUGUUAGGCUCUCGGCUGCAGUUUGCUUAACAUUUUGAAAGACUUGGUGUAGCUCGUUUGGAUUCUGGUUGAGAGAGAUGGGGUUUGUUGUAGGAGAAGAAGAAGAACAGUUCAUUAGUCCAUAAUUGUUGCCAAAGAAAGAUUGGUUGCUUCUUGUAGAACCCAUUUGAGCUGCCUUUUGCAGAAGUGCAGUGGCAGACAUAUUGGGCACUGCAGCUGGCUUUGAUUGCUUGUUCUGAAUACUAUCAGAAUACAAAGAAGCUGAUGUAUUCACCAUAUUGGCUUUACUACUACCUUCUUCCUUUAGCCCAUGAGGGAGUCCAGAUAAGGUUAAAUUCCCAAAAUUGGCGGUGGACGAUGAACCAUAGAGAUUGGCUGAUCCCAUUUGCACCAUUUCAGGCAAACCACUAGAACUCGAAGGCACGUAAAGAUUUAAAUUGGGACUAAUAGGUGAAGUGGCUUGAUUUAGCCACAGAGAAAGUCCAGGCUUUUGUUGAUCAGCACCAAGAGAAUUUCCUGGAGUCAUGCCACUGAAAUCAGGUCCAAAACCUGAAUUGAAUUGUGGAAUGCCUGCGAUAUCUGGAACUCCCGGCCGGUCAGGAAAUCCAUGAGGCAAAUCUACUGUAUCAUUUCUGAAAUUUAGAUUGGCUGCAGCUGGAACGGAAGUGAUUCUUGCACUUUCUUCAGCUAAGGCAUCGCAAAAGGCUCUGUGUGUGAUAAAGCUAUCUUUCCUGUUUUGGUAUAUAUUAGAAACCCCAAUUCAAAAUUUGAUCUAUCAGCACUUAUUAUGAUUACCUAGCAAGUAUAAUCAUAAAUGAAGUAUCAUUUAAUUCAAAAGAAAAAUCAAAGGGAUAACAUUUAUUUCAUCUGCUACGUAAUCAAUGACAGAAAAUCAAUAACCAAGUGUGUGUAGUAACAGUGUUAGUACCUGGAAAAUAAAGUCCCACAGUCACAUUUAUACUCUCUAGUCCCGCAAGUCUUGGAGUGAGCUUUCCAGUCUGAUUGAACUGCAUACUUCUUUGAACAUUUCUCACACUUCCACUUCUUCUCCCCAUGUUUUCUGCUAAAGUGCUUCUUUAUGCCAGUUAAGUCUCCGAGAGCUCUAGAUGGAUCGUGGUGAACGCAGGUCUUUUCUGGGCAAAUAUAGACCUUCUUUCGUACCUCUUUGUUGGUUCUUUGCUUUAGCUUCCAUGGAAGAUUGUGACCUCUUCGAUGAAGUUGCAAGUUUUGGUCUCUUUGAAAUCCUUUGUUGCAUAUUUCACAUAUAAACCGGUUUGUAGCCAUGAGAGACUUCGGAGAUAAAGCAAUAACCUCAGCAUCUGGAUCUGUGAAGACGACAUAGAAACAGUUUAUUUGACUACUAUUCAAUUUAAAGUAAGUUUUGUACAUACGCGAUAACUAACUAAGAGAUGAGGUACCAAGAAAAAUAAGAAAUUAAGCAUGCUACUUACCUGGUGUUCCUGGUAAAUUUCUUUUCCUCUUGGCCGCUUGAUUAGGAUUAGUUUUAGGGCUAGGGUUAGGGUUUGCAUUAUUCUGGUCUUGAGCAAACCCUGCUAUUGAAGAUGGUAGUGAGAAAGCAUCACCAGACAUCAUUUCUACUUAAAUUGAACCAAACACAACAACGCAACAAAGCUUUCGAAAAAGGAUAAAAACCGUAAGAAAACAAAAGAAAGCAAGAGUUUCUCCCAACACAAACAGCUAAGUGUUUAGUUUAUUCAAAUACUGACUUCACUCUUUAGCUAAUUCUGCCAAAAGACAAGAAAAACACAACUCAAGCUUGAAUCUAAACACCCCCUCCUAAAAAGAAAUAUAGUCCAAAUUAACUUCGGACUCUUGUUACAGAGAUCUGGUUUGCCUUUGUUUGAUUUCAAAAGAAAAGACCAAAAACCAUUGAGUAAAGAGAAUAUCUCUCUCUCUUAUUAUCUUGGCCUUACUCGUCCCCCCCCUUUUUUUUUUAUCUUGCUGAAAGUCGGUCAGCCAUAUAUUUUUCAAUAAUGGGCCACACCUCUCUCCCUCACACACACACAGGACACAUCGGUACCACACGCACGAUGGUAAAUGGUAAAAAAAGAGAGGUGUAUCUAUAUAUACACACGAGAGAAAGAGAGAGUAUAUGAGCUACUUUGUAUAAUAAGAAUGUGUAGGAUUGCGUCUCUCUUUGUAGCCUUUAGAGCUCAAACUCGAAUUAUCAGCAGGAAAAGAAAAGGUAACUGCAAGAGUAAAAGAAUGAUUGGGGAUAAAAUAGUAGAAACAAGGAAGAGUAGCAUUAACUAAAAGCAAGGUGAUGCAUGGGUGCAUGAAAAGUAAAAUAAAAAGGUAAUUGAUGGGAUUGUUUGUUUUACUUAAGGAUGAUAUGAUAUUGAUGAUCUGAUGAAAAGGAAAGAUUGAAAAGUUGUUUGCCUUUACAGUCCAUGAACAAGUAUAGAAAUGAUUAUACUAUAAUUAAAGUUUAAGACCCCAGUUUAGCAUACAGUGGCUAGAUAGCAGAGAGUCAGAGAUAGUGCAGUAUAUGUUUGGUGAAAGAGAAAGAGAGAAGGUUAGUUACGUUUCCCUAGGCAUUGCCAUUGAUAGGACCGUCCGUGAUACACUGUCUCACUGCAGGAGUGUGACUGUGGGGGCCAAAGCUCCUGUGAUUCUGAUAUCGUCGUCGUCAUCAUCGUCAUCUUCUUCUUCUUCAAUUAAUCAUCCCAAGAAGUUUGAGUGCAUGUGGGUACAAUAUAAAUGCUUACUUCACUGUUUUAACUGAGGUUGAUGCUGAUACCAUUCCACCAGCCUGUUAAUUAAUUAAUUUGUUACUUUAUACAUCGAGAUUGCUGGAUAUGUUGAAUGUUCUCUUGCACCUCGGUAAAAUUAUUUGUUUGUAAAAUGAUUUGAUAUGUAAUUAAGGCGGUUUAAUUUGAUAAAUGGGAGGAGUACUACUGUAUGUAGUCGAGGAAUCAAAAGUUAUUUUGCUCAUUAUUUGUCGCAUUUUAUUGAAAUGCUAGAACGUCCAGUGCUUCCCAUUUUAGUGGUCAAAAGAAGCAACUUACUUUUUAAGAUGAUAAUACAUUUGCCCAAGAUUGAAAAGCUUUUCUCCAUCCUAUUAUAAAUAAAGCUGCAUUUUCCCUUCUUUCUAAAAAACAAAAGACAAAAAUUUUAAUCUUUAUUAAAUGAGAAUUUAUUUGUUUUCAUGCGUAAAAGAUAUCCCUUAAGUACAUAUUUAAACGUCAAUCUCCAUUUUUCUAACGAAAGAGAUGCCAUUUCCUCUCUUCUUACUUUUUAGGAUAUGUUUGGUUGGAUAUAAUGAGUCCAUUAUAUUCUUAUAUUUAGUUGUGUAACUUUUAAAAAUUUAAUAUAAUGGACCAUUACAAUAUUACAGAAUAUGCUUGUAAUGUAAUGAGUUGUCACAAAAUAUAUAUAUAUAUAUAUAUAUAUAUAUAUAUAUAUAUAUAUAUAUAUAUAUAUAUAUAUAUAUAAAAGGUGUGCAAUGCAUCAUUACAGGAGUAUCACUACCAGAAAAUUGACAAAUAAUAACAAAAACUCUGAUGGAUAAUAUUUUGUGGCUACUUUCCGACAGAAAUAGCGACAAAGAAAUUCUAUUGAAAAUUUCUGAUGUAAAUAACAACAAAAUACGUUCUGUAGAUAAUUUAUGAUAAAAUUACAGAUGGAAUAAAUAAAUAAUUCAUCGACAAUUCCAUCGGAAUGUUGACAAGUCAUUAUUUAUCAAUGGAAUUGCUGAAAAAAUAAUUCUAUUGACAAAUGUAAAUAAGUUAUAACUGACAGUUACAUCCCUUCUAGGUAGUCUAGGUUUUUGCUUGUACGUUGGUCUGAUUUCUUCUUUGUAUCUUAUAUCUUGUAUUCCCCUGUUAUUGUUUUGUUCUUGUUUAGUUGGCGUUUGCUUCAUUGCAAGAGGUCUUGUGUUUGUGGUUCUUUUUCGGCUAAGUGCCCUUAUAAUUUUGGGGUGCAGUUUUUGGAUGGUCUUUUUUCUUUUGAUAGAGGUGUUAUUGUUCCUGUUUUUCUCACGUUGCUGGUUUUUCCUUGUUUGCUCGCUGCUUCCUUGGGUGUAGUCCCUCUCUUGCGGCUUCUCUGUUUCUCUUUUGGUUUUUGAUGCUCUUGCAGUUCUUGCAGCUCUGGGGCUUUAGGCUUCAGGCUUCAGGUUGCUUUUUUUCUUCAUCUACUCUUGUUAGGCUUUUGGAUCUUGUUUUUACUUUUCCUAGUUCUUUCGCUAUGGCUAUAACCUAUGUAGUUAAAGCCUUUGUUUAGGUCCCGAUUCAUUUAUAAACUCUUGAUUUUUUUUUUAAAUCCCUCUUACUCUUUUUUUUUCUACCUCCUACAAGAAAAAUACGAGUAGCCCCCUAUUUUCUCACUAAUUCAGCUACCCCAAACCCCCAACGUAGAUAUGCAUCUAUCAGUAGUGUCAACAACCAUCAUUGUAUUUUUUUUGUGAAGCUUUGAUACACAAAGUAAGCAAACUCACCUAUUUUUUUAUAAUUCAUUUAAGUUUUAGGUUGAUUUAUUGAAUGUUUUAGUAGUAUUUGUACUUUGCUUGUAUAUUUAAGUGUUUUAUAGCUUUUUUCUAGAUAAUUUUUUUGUAUUAAUGUAUGAUUUGUAUGUUAAGGUUUGUUUAGGAUUUAAGGGAAAUUGAAUUUUGUUGUCAUUUGAUGAAAUUGAGUUUGAUUUUGUAACUUAUAUAAGUUAUAAUUAAAGAAAUAAUGAGUUAUUUUAAUGGAUAACAAUCACAUUUUGUCAAUUUGAUUAUUAAGUUGAAGAUUUAGGGGAAAUUGAUUUUUUAUGGAAUUGAUAAAAUCAAUAUUAUUCUUUUAUGUUUCAUAAGUAAUGAAUGAUCGCUCUUGGAUGUAUCGAGAUUUACCCGAAAGGUUCUAUAGACAAGAUUAUCUUCAAGAGGUUGAGAGUUUUACUAAUUUUGUACUUUCUAAAUUGAAGAAUAUUAGUGCAGGCAAAAUUAAUAUCCAUGCAUGAAGAGUAAAAAUAAAAAGUUUAACCAUAAAGAUGUUAUUAUCAUGCAUCUACUUAAAAAAAAGAUUCAUCAAGAAAUACUUAUAUAGGUUUGCAUAAGGAAAACCCUAUGUUCCUUAUGAAACCAUGUUAGAAAAGAUGGUUGGCUCAACGUCUAAUUUUCACAACAUAUAUAGGUUUGUGGAUAAUAAUAUUAAUCAUUAUUGGAGUAUGGUGAUGAAUGUAUUGGAGUAUGGUGAUGAAUGUAAUGGAAAUGGAUUAUGAUUAUUCAAGUGAAGGUUCAUGUAACAUCUUUUUAAAUGAAGAAUCAAAUGUAGAUGCAUCUAGAUUUUUUAAACUUUUAAAAGAUUUUGAUAGGAUGGUGUAUAACUCAAAAUAAAUUAUUGACCAUUGCACGAGUGUUUAACAUCAAGUUAGAUUAUGGGUUGAGUGAAGCCAAUUAUAAUAACACCAUUGAUUAGGCUAAAAACAUGUUACCUUAAAGGAAUAAGUUGAAAAAGAACUUCUAUAUUGAAAAAUCCAUGAUGAAACCUCUUGGUCUAGGGUAUCAAAAAAUUGAUACGUGUCCAAGAUUUUUCAUGUUGUAAUACAAUGAAUGUACAAAACUUGUCAGCGUGCUCAGUAUAAACUCAAUAAAGGUAGAGGAAUGACAUUUGUCACAUAAAAAACUGAAAUACUUCUCAAUCACUCCUAGAUUAUAACAUUUAUUUAUGUCUUUAAAGUCUGCUAAGAACAUAGCAUGACAUCAUUCAAAUGAUAUAGUGGAUGAAGUCAUGAUGCUCUAUUUUGAUAGUGAAGCUUGAAAUUUAAUAAUGUGUAUUCUUAAUCUUCAAUGGAACUACGAAAUGUACAUCUUGGCUUGUGUACAUAUAGAUUAAUCAAUUUGGAUCCUUUAUUGCACCUUAUUCAUAUUGGUCGGUCAUACUAACAAUUUAUAACUUGCCUUUUAGGGAUGUGUAUAAAGUUAAAAUUCAUGUUAUUAUCUAUGGUAUAUCUGCUCCUUACAUUUCAUGUAGGAAUAUAGAUGUUUGUCUUUGAUCGUUGAUUGAUGAGUUGAAUUAGUUAUGGUUAGUCGAGGCUUUGACAUAUGAUGCCUCAAGAAAAAAAAAAUUUAAGAUGAAAACAACAUUGAUAUGGAAUAUAAGUCAUUUUCCUGUGUAUGUGAUGAUUUCAGAUUGGAGCAUAUAUGAAAAGUUUAUUUGUCUAUACUGUAUAAAAAAUAAUAAGGCCUUUACCUUAAUAAAUGAUGAUAAAGCUUCAUUUUUUGGUUGCUAUCGGAGGUUCUUACUAAGUCAUUAUCGAUAUAGAAACAAUAAAAAUGACUUCCUAGAAUGUAAAUUUGAAAGGGAUGUUACACCAUUAAUACUGUUGGGUGAAGAAUUAUAUGACAUGGUUUCACAUUAUGAAGACAUUGUAUUUGAUUUCCAUUCUGGUAAAUAAAAGUUUUCUAGUUUUGGUGUAACUUAUAAUUGGGUAAAGCGUAGUAUAUUUUAGGAUCUUUCUUAUUGCAAGAUUUAUGCCAUCCAUAAAAAUUUAGAUAUCAUGUAUAUCAAGAAGAAUAUGUUUGAUAAUAUUUUUAACACGGUUAUGGACGUAAAAUGAAAAAUAAAAUACAAUAUAAAAGCAAUAAUAGAUCUAGCUUUAUAUUAUGAUUGUCAAAAUAUAGAGUUGCUUAAUGAUGACUUAUGUGUUGUAAAGCUCAAAGCCACAUUUUCCUUUGACAAUGAUGCAUAGUUUCUUAUCUACGAAUGAAUUAAGAGACUAUGAUUUUCUAAUGGAUAUGCUUCAAACAUAGUUAGAUUGGUAAGUUUAGGAGAAUGUAUAAUGUAUAGAAUGAAGAGUCAUGAUUGUCAUGUGUUUAUGUAAACACUCAUUCCAAUUAUUGAUAAGGAUUUAUUACCAAAAAAGGUAUAGGAUAUACUAAUAGAGAUUAGUCACCUUUUUAUAGAUAUUUAUUCGAGCAAGUUACAUACCUACCACAUGGAGCAAUUUGAAACAAAUAUUAUUAAUACAAUCUGCAAAUUUAAAAUGAGUUUUUUUCCCUUCUUUAACUCAAUAAAGCAUUUGCCUAUACAUUUAUCGUAUAAGGCAAAAUUUAGACGGCCUAUAUAAUACAGAUGGAUGUAUCAAUUUAAAAGGUUAGGGAUUGCAUGCAUUAUAAGUAAUUGUCCAUUGUCUUUUUGUAAACAUUCAGUUAUCUCUAAUUACUUACAUGUAAAUACUUAUUCAACCUUAAAAAAAACAAAAAAAAAUGCAUGUGUUAAGUCUACAACAUGUAAGACUUAUAUUGUUAAAUUUUUUUAAACAUUUACCUCAUUUUAUUUUGAGCCUUAUUUGAGAACAAGAACCAACUGUAUUUUAUAACAUGAUAAUGGUGGUGAACCACCUUCAAGGAAAAAUUUGUCAAUAUUUUGCCAUCCUAAACAACCAUUAUCAAAUAAAGUAGUAAAGAGAAGAAAUUUAAUAGACAUUGAAUUCAAACAAGUACAUAAUUAUAUGUUAUUCAACUGUAAUGAAUUGAAACCUUUUAUUUGAUAAGUCAAUUUUUACAAUUAUAUAGUUUUAAACCUUUUUUGCUUAUAACUCAUAUAGAUUCAAUCCUGUAACUUUCUUAUAGGUAACAUCAUCAAUUAUUGUUAUCCUAAAAUUCAAAUGCUAUUAAAGCUUAAAAUUUUCAAUUACAAGAUGAACAAUUUGUAAAUAUUUAAGUAUUCAAUAAUUUAUAAAUACUAAUAAUAGAUUUAAUUGUAUUUUUCUUGGAUUGUUAAUGCUUGUUAAUUAACUUUAACUAUGUUUUUAACAUGAGAGGCAACACUGAUAGAUUGAGAUUCCUAUCUUUGGGUCUUGAAAAAAAAGUUCAGUGUUAUAAUGAAUUUUUCAUUAAUGAAUAUGUAUUUCAUACUGAAAAGUAUGGUGAUGAAAAAAAGACAUACAAUAGUGAGGUUUGUGUAAAUGUUCAACUUCCAAUGAGUUGAAAGUUAAUUAUUAUGCCAAGUUACUAAAGGUUAUUGAAUUGCGAUAUCACAGUGAACAAUAUAUAUUGGUUUUAUUCAAAUAUUAUUGGUAUGAUAUCAAUAGAUAAAUUAGAGUAGAUCCUCACUAUGGUAUGAUCAAAAUAAAUAAAAGAGGUCCACUUUGCAAUAUCAAUGAUGUUUUUGUUUUUAUCAAACAAUGUCAAUAAGUGUAUUAUACAUACAUUCUUUUCUUUAAAAAAGAUCACAAUAAAGUCGAUUGGUUAUCUGUUGUGAAAACCAAACCGAUAAGUCAUGUCUAAGUUGAAGUUGUUGAACAUGGUAACAAUGAAGUAAAUGAAGGGAGACAAUGUAUUUCAAAUGGAUGAGCUAAUUGAUUCAUAUCGAGUUGUUUCAUCUACUAAGUUAAAUAAUCCAAAUUUUCAUGUCACUGAAAAUAUUUAUGUUGAUGUUAAUGAGUUAAAUAUAAUGUUGAGUACUAGUGGACAUAGAAAAGAAGGUGAAGAUUAUGAGAUUGACCAACUUGAAUUCAACGAAGAUGAUGAUGAAAAUUACAAGAAGGAUUAUGAUUAAAAAGUGUUGCAUUGAUUUAAAUGUAAAACAAUCAUUAUAUAAUAAAAUUAACAUUGAAUAACACAUUUGUUGCAACUUUCUAAUGCAUUAUAUUUUUUACAUUUUUAAAGUGUAUUUUUUUUAUUUUGUAGUUGUGGUUUAAUGUUGGCAAAUAUUUACAUUUCAUCAAAUAUUGCCGAUGACAUUGACGAUGGACAUGCAAUUUAAUUGGAGAAUUACAACAGGUUUAGUGUAAUGGUGAUGGAAUUGUCGACAAACAUGGAAUUUCAUCAAAACAAUUAUAGUAAGUUUAUGAAAUGGUGAUGAAAUUGUUGAUGGACAUGCAAUUUCAUCAGGAAAUUACAAUAGGUUAGAGAAACGGUGAUGGAAUUGUUGAUGGAAUUAAAAAUAUUAAAAAAAUAAUUGAAUUUUUGUUGGUAAUUUUAUCGGUAUUUGUUGACAUGUCAAUAUGCUGAUGGAAUUUUCAUUAGCAAAUCCAGGUAUUAACCUAACAAUUCCCCUUUUUCUCCCUAUUUUAUCUCAGCUACUCAAAAUAAACAAAAUGUCACUGCCCUUCUCUCUCCCUGCCACCCCCAGCGUCUUCUUCUUCUUCUUCUCUCUCUCUCUCUCUGCUAGCCAGCUUUCACCACCACCCAACCCCUUUUUCUCGUAGUCGCCUAGCCCAUCUCUCUCUCAAAAUCUUCAAGGGUAAGUUUCUUAAUCCCUACAAAGUCAUUUCUUGUUUUAUCUUUUUAUGAUGGUUUGUGUUUAGGGUGUUUAGUUUCAGAGUGGGUUUGGUGUUUUGGGUUCUUAUUUUUAGUGUUGUGGUAUUUGUUUUGUGUGUUAAUAGAAUAGAAAAUUUUGAUUAUUGAUUGGGUUAUCAAUUUUGAUUGUUGAUUAUUUUAUUUGAUAAGAGAUUUAUGUUGUUAGUGGUUGCUGAUUUUAGAAAUGAAGGGUUGUUAAUGGUUGUAAAUUGAUUUUUUAUAAGGGAUUUGUGCUAUUAAUGUUUGUAUGUAUGUACAUUAAAUCGCUCCUAGCAUAUAAAAAUUACACCCAUAUUUCUCUUUAUGGAAACCCUAUGUUUUAUAUGUUUAUUAGUUGUUGUCUUGUAUUUUGCAUAAUUAGUAUUUUCAAACUUUUUCUAAGCUUGAGCUUGUAUUGUUUGAACUUGUUCGGUCCUAUUCUUUACAAUAUUAUUGAACCUGAAAUUAACUUGUGUUAUAUUUCAGAGAUGUUAAGAAAGAAGUUUAAAUAGAGCUAUUGUUACUUCCAGUUCAACCAACAGUAGUGUUGGUGAUGUCGGUGAUCAUGUUUUUAAUUUAGGUGUCAAACAUGAAGAGACAUCUAAUGCACAUGAUACCAAUCAAGGCUUGUUCACUUCAGGUAGCAAAGGUGGAAUCCCAUUUUCAAGAGAUCCAUAUCCUGAUAAAAUUAUUGCAAAAUAGAAGAUCGACCACUCAAUAUAAGUUAUGUAUUGAGGUUAUUUAUUUUGAUUGGGUUAUUUUAAGAUUUACAUUAAAUAAAAAUGAUUGACUUUAUAUGAAUUUGUUUUGCAGGUUUACAUAAAUUGAAGUUGAAUGUUAUACCACAAGUGUAAUGAAAUCAUUGUUCAAGGAACCACAUUUUCAAUGGAACCAACUUCAAGAUCAUCUGAAUGGAUGAAUAUGUAGAUAUUUGUUGGGGAUUGUUUAAGGUAAGAUAAUAUAUAUAUACUUUUUUAUUUCAAAAAUCUAAUUAAUGUACAAAUUAACAAUGUUAGGGAAAUUAUGGUGGAAAAGGAAAAUGAAGGGGUGGUCAGGAAAGUGUGGAAAAACCACAAUGCAAUUAAAUAUCAAACAAUUGACAAAUUUUAUAUUUGAAAUUAUAACCUUAAAUUUUCAAAUCACAUGUAUAUUUAACAAAAACAUUGUACCCUAAUGCAUGGUUUGUGAUUGAUGCCUAUAAAUAUACAAAAAAUCAAGCUGACUCCGAUGAUGUUGAUGCAUGAAUAAAGUAUAAACUGAGUCAUGUCAUAGAGGAUAUUAGGGCAAAAUUUGAAGAAUUUAAAUGGCGUUCGCGAUUCAAGUCACAGACCAAAACAAAGAAACAAAUGGUUUGGUGAGCAAGAACAUCGGUGGAUCGCUCUUAUUUGUCAACCAUGCUCCUGACAACAAUUUUCAAAUUAUGUAUUCUUCAAUAUUUUAAUUUACUAUUUAUUUGUUAGACUUUUUAACAAUUUAUUUAUUUUGCAUCAGUAACAAUUUGGGUGCAAGCCUACUCUGAUAGAAUUAUAUGAGGAAACUCAUAUAAGAAAAAUAAAUAGGGGAACAAUGGUGAAGAAGUUUGUAGAUAGUAGAGAAUAUAUAAGCAUUCGUUGUAAGUCUUUGUUUUUAAUUCUUGUAUUUUUUUUAAUUAUAAUGGACUUGUUUUUUUUCUUUGUUUUGUAGAAAACAUUUAAUGCCACAAUAUUUGAAAAAUAUAAAGAAGAUGUUUCCUCCCAUCCUCCUCACGAUCCUCAGUUGCGGUUGGAGUAACAAAUAGACCCGAUAGGAAUCAGGUUUAUGGAAUGCCUAUAAAAUCAGCUAGAAAAAUAAGGUCGAGCCAUAUUGCUUCUACUCUAAGCACACAACAGUCCAACCCAAACUAGUUGAUGCUGAAAUUUGAAGCGAAUGUCCUAAAACAGGUUAAAGAGUGAAUAACCAAAUUAGAAGAAGAAAUGAAAGCCAUAUUAGAAGAAGAUAAUAGAAAGAAUUGAGAGAAAAUGAUGGAAUAUAUGGUUUCACAUUAUCCUACUCCUCAUACUGGUCAUUUUGUCUCAAGAUUUCCCCCUCCACCCCCACCUUUAUCCGUGUAGCGUUAUAUUUAUUGUUGUAAAAUUAUUUUUGAAUGAAUAUUAAAAUUAAUAAAAUCUUGAUGUUCAAUAAAAUUGAUAGUGUUUGGUUUUAUUUUGAUAUUUGUUAUUUUUGUAAUUAACAACUACAUAACUAAAAUAAAAUUACUUAACUUUUGACGAAAUCAUUGAUGGAAAAAAAAAAGUUCAUUGGUGUUUCCAUCGGCAAUAUGGGUGUCAUUUCAUUAAAAAGUUAUAGAAUGGUUUAGAACUCUUAGAUAGAAGUAGCGAUGUAAAUUCAAUCGACAAUAUUCCAUUGUAGAUACCGUCAACAACAUUUAGUUUUUUUCAACAGAACAAGCGGCAAAAUAUUUCAUCGAUAAUUUAUUUACCGAUGGAAUUGUUGAUAGAAACUGGUCGGUGUAUUUUAUUUUCUAGCACCAAUAUUCUACCGACAUUUCUGUUGACAUUACCAAUUAUUGAUAAAAAUAACGACGGAUAGCAAAUCUCUGAUAAAAAUUUGUUCAACAUAUUUUCGUUGUUAAAUUUGUCAAUGAUAUAAAUUGCUGAUGGAAUAGUGUUUACUCUCCAAUGGAAUAUUUUGUUUUUCUUUUUUAAUUUUCUAGUAGUGUAUUAGCAAUCAUAUUAGGAUUUAAUUAUAAUUUUUUUUUAUCAUAAUCACUAAACUAUAAUUUUUUUUUAAAAAAGAUAAAAAUGUUUUUAAAAAGACUGCUUUAUAAACAAAAAUAAAAUAUAGGGACUAACCUAAUUGCUUUGGAAAAUCCAAGGAAUGAAGUAAAAUUUUGUAAAAUGCUUCUAUUACAUUGCUAUGAAUAUUUAUAAUCAACCAUUCCAAUACAUUUCUUAUUAUAUUACACAAUUAAUUAUAUUAUAUUAUAAUGCAUUACACGGUAUUAAACAUGUCAUUAAUUUCUAGACCCAUCCCUUAGCUGGUACAAUAAAGGUAUUCUUCAAUUAUAUUUUAAAGUAAUUGUUGUUGUUGUUGAAUGUUAUGUCCUAUCUGAUAGCCAACCAAUGUUAAACACAUGGACAUCCCCUUGCAGUAUAAUAUGAUUCCUGAUUUCACUUAAUUUCCAAUCUACAUAUAUUUCCUAGCUUUACCUAACCAUAGGUAUAUUAUAUAUGACAAGUACAAAUUGCUUUUGUUCUUGAUUUUUGGUUGCCAAAAGAUUUCUUCAAGAAUAAUCUUAAUAUUCAUUAGUAGUAAGUUAAAAUUUUUUUUAAUAAAAAUUAAGUAUAAGAUAAUAUUAGUUUGUAUAAGUUUUAAGUUUAAAAAAUUUUCAUUAAAAAUAUAUGUUAUAAAAUAAUAUAAAUUAUAGUAAAUCUGGAUAUAUAUUCAAUUAGCUCGGACCACGUGAUUUUCUAAUGCUUGGCAAAGCUAAAACUUCGAAGUACAGUUUAUAAUGUGAAAAAUCUAGCAAACAUCUGUACGUAAACACCAUCAUCACGUGCAUUUUCAUUCGGCAUGUACUCUAUAAAUAGUACACAGCUAAUUUCAACAAUUAUUUAAUUACCCAUAUAGUUUUUUUUUUCUUUUCAAACUGGUUUAAUUCUAUAAAAAAAGAGAGAAGAACUUUGGAGAAAAAUCAGCGUUCGUUAAAAAGAAAAGGGCAAAAAAACAUUCAUUCUACCCUGUAGAGGCAGAAUGAUUAUAUUUACCCUUUAGAGGGCGGGCAUUUUCAUGUUUUUCUUUAUUAUUAUUAUUAUUGAUAUGUCAAUUUAACUUGAUUAGAAAUUAAACUCGAACAUUAACUGGAGCUAUAGAUGAAAUAAAGGUUCAAACGCUUGUCAGAAGCACCCCACAUGCUUGAUAUUGCUUGAUAUUGAUGUCUUAAUCUGAACUGACUUUGAGCAGACUCAUUGUUUCGUUUUUCAUGAUUCAAUAAUACUGACGAGGAUGAUAAGAUUAAUUCAGAACAAAUUAUUUUAUGUUCCUGUGUUUUGGCCCCAUGCAUACGGAGUUUCCUUCAAAGCCAUUGAUGCUUCCUCCAUCCUCAUUCCCCAUUUUGGCAUCCAAAGCUCUCUCUCUCUCUCUCUCUCUCUAGACACACACACACACUCACCAAAAUAUAUUCCUAGCUACUACACAUGCUAAAGUCUGAACUGAGAACAAAACACCAUGUGUUAGUUGGCAAUAUAUACGAAUAAAAUUAAGGCAAGCUAAUUCCAAGGUGAUCAGGAAGAGAAUGAGUUUAUGACUUGAUAUAUUAAUUAUGUGGGCAACCAGAUACGAAAUUUUCAGCAUCUACCCAUUGCGUACAGGCGUAUAUAGCCCUUCGUAAUGCACGUAGAGAAUGGCCCGCCCUCUUUUCUUUAUUCUCUAAUCUCCUCCUCGGUUUUGUCUACGAAUAUUAAAAUUAAUAAAAUAUUAUUUAAAGAAAUCUUGAACUACGGGGAUUUGUUGAAGAAAAGUGUCUUUGGAUUAUUGUGCUCUUUGGGCCGAGGGUUUUAGGUAAUCUAGAAUCACCGCAAAACACUCCAAUAAUGAAACUCUACAUCGUAAUGUUGUUGUUGUUGUUGUUAUAUUAUUAUUAUUUUGGCUUAGUGGUAUUCUCAAAUAAGUUUGCACAUUAAUUAAGAUUAUAUUUAUAUAUAUAUUUUUUAAUAAUCUUAAGAACAUAUCCCCAUCCAAGUACGAUUUAUAAUACAGUCAAGAGAAUAACUUUUAUUUCAUGUUUGUUUCAAUAUUUAAACUUAAGAAGUCGAGAAAUUAAUAGCAAAUCUUCUUGAUCACUUCACCUAUAUAUCUCGUAAAAGCUAGUAUGUUAAUGUAUUUUUACUAUUAAUAUGAAAGGCUAUGGGUUUUCACUAAAUAACAAUGUUGGUUUAUAUUGUCUAAUUAAUUGAGCUAAUUAACAUGCUAGUUUAAUCUCUUAAAGUUUAAUAGAUGAUUAGUACUAUUUCAUAUAGUUAUUGAUUUUAAAAUUAAUUUAACUAUUUAAUUUAAUUAAUCACAUAAUAUUUAUACUAAAUAUAAGUCUCUUUCCAUUUAAAUCUAACUUAUUAUGGGUGUUAAAAAAGAUUCUAAAUUUAUAUAAUCCCACACAAGUCAAAACAACUCUAGUUUGUUUGUUUUUUUUAAAACAAAAACAAGAUUCAUUGCUAAAUUUCUUUAUCCAAAAAUCUUAACUAGUCACUUUUUUCAAGAUUCACUACCAGAAUUAUGCAUCUUAUUGAUGAAAUAUUUUAUCCAUAUUUAGACAUUGAUUAUGCCAGAAAUAAUUUUACCAAUAAAAUCAAAGAAGGUUAUUGUUUGUCGAAAAACUUAUCAUCGAUGAUUUCUAUUAUGUCGGUUAUUUUUUAGUAAUAAAAUCAUUGAUGGAUUUACAAACGAAAAAAACACGUCAAACACAAAAACAUUUACCGGCAUGAUUCUGUCGGUAUUUUCUUCGAUAAGUACGACAUAUCACUAAAAAAAAACUGUUUGUAAUUACAUUGAUGAUUUAUUUCAAAAAAAGAAGAAGAAUUGAUUUCCAAAGAUUGCUUGAUUUAAAUGUAUUCUGGGCUAAAAUGAAUUAGUUAGAAAUAAGUGGAUUAAAUUGAAUUAACAUGGGACUAAAUUGAAUCAAAUUAAUUCAAUUGGACUAAAUUGGAAUAAAUUGGACUGAAUUGACUGAAUUAAAACAAAUAGGAUUGAAAUGAAGUAAUGUAAAUGGAUUAAUUGGUCCUUGGAAUUUUUCUUCCUUGUUUUUUUUGAAUUUGAUUCAAUUAAGAUGUUUAAUUUUGAAAUUUCUUUCAAUUUAAGCUCCAUAUUGAAUUAAUUGAUUUUUCCAAUUUUGAUUUAGUCCUUAGUUUCCCUAAAAAUCCUUAAUCUAUUUUUUUUUAGUGUCCCUAAUUGAAUCAAUUUAUUCCUCGAGAUUUGUUGCAAAAUCAUCCUUGGUUCUUCCAAUCUUUAUUUUUAAACCAAAUUGACUCCUAAUUUCAAGUUGCUUUUUUAAUUAGGUUCUUAAUUGACUUUUAACUUGGCUUUUUUUUUCAAAAUCAUCCUUGAACUUCAAGUUUCUUUCAUUCUUAGCAAAAUUAAAUCAAAUUAAGCCAUUUUCUAAAUUUUCUCUUCAAUUAUGACCCAAAUGUUUUUCCUAAACCUCAUUUUUUCCCUAUGAUACUUGAUUAUUAGUGCAAUUUCAAACCCCAACUAUUUUUUUUUAUUUUUUUUGCAUUUUGUAUAUUUUAUUAUUUUCAAGAUUUUUUGACACAAAAAAAAUGAAGAAAAUGAUGAAAUGAUUAAAAUUACUGAAAAAAGCAGCUUAUUUUUUAUUUUAUUUUUUCUAAAAAUAGGUGAGGUCAAAAUUAGUUUAUAACAAGGAUCUAUUAUGAUUAUUCUAUCAAUGAUAUCUUACCAAUAAAAUUUGAAUAAAUAAACUCAAUCACAUCUUCUAACUUCCUACAUAAUCAACUUCAAACUCAUUAUAAGUUGAUCAUCACUUAACACAAAAUCCAUUGUUAUAUAUCUUUUUACCCUAACCAUACUCUUUAGUAUGAAAAAAUUUUCUAUUGAUAAAAUACCUAUUAGAGCACUUUACCUUUCUUUCAAGAUCCAAACAUAGUAAAUUCAAACUGCCACUAGUAUUCCUUUCCAAUUGAUAAACUUAGUAUAUGAUUAUAACCAUUAACAGUUAAAAAGAAAGGUGUAAUCAAAUUAAAUAUUACGAGACAUAAGAAUUAUUAAGAGAAAGGUGUAUUCUGAACCACGUUGUAAAUUGUUCAUCUUGUAACUGGAAAAUUUAGAUUUAGUAAGAUUUGAAUUUUGAGAUAGUGAAAAUUGAUGAUGUUGUCUAUAAUGAAGUAUUUAAUGUAUUAGUUUAUGAGAGUAUAAGAGACAAAUUAUUUGAAAAUAACAACAUUUAAAUAUUUUACGUACUGAAUAAAAUAUCUCAAUUCAUUGUAGUUAAAUAGCACAUAAUUAUAUACAUGUCUAAACUCGAUUUCUGUCAAGUGUCUUCCCCCUCACUGCAUUUUUUGAUACAGGUCAUCCAUGAUUGGAAAGUAUUGACAAAUUUAUACUUAAAGGUAGUUCCCUGCUAUCAUCGUGUUUUGGAAUGCGACUUAUUCUUGUUCUCAAGUGAGGGUCAAAAUUAUACAAAAUAAAUGCUGAGAUUUCUUCCACAAUAUAAGCCUUGUAUAUCAAAGCCUCAAUAUGCUCUUUUUUUAAGCUGAACAAGUAUCCGAAUGAAAUUAAAUGAAUUUCUAAAAUUAAAAAAAAAAGACAAUAGAAAUUUAAUUAGGAUGAAUGUGUAAUACCUAACCUCUCAAAUGAAUACAUCUAUCUAUACUGGAUAAGGCCUCAAGCUUUUUCCUUGUAUGGUAGAUAUAUGGGUAGAUGUUUUAUUGAAUUGAAAAAUGAUGGAGGGAAUAUAUCUCAAGUUUAUAGAUUGUCUAGAUGAUAUUUGUUUCAAGCUUCUCCAUGUGUUGGGUAUGUAACUUGUUAGAGUAUAUAUUUCUAAAAAAAUGACUAAUCUCUGUGAAGACAUUUCAUAUCUCUUUUGGCAAUAAAUCUCGGUAAACAAGUGGAAUGAGUGUUUGCAUAAAUAUAUGAUAAUCACGGCUCUUCAUUCCAUACAAUCUAUCAUUCUCUAAAUUCAUCAAUCUAGAUAUGUCCAAAACGAUUAUUGAUAAAUAAAAUUUUUUGUUGGUGUAUACUAAGGGACAUAGCGAUGAAAUAUUUUGUUAGUAUAUUUCACUGUAAUUUAUAGAUGAAAUUAUUUUUGUCAGUAUUUUCAUUUGUAUUUGCUAAUUUUUUGGUAGUGAUUAUUGAUAAAGAAAGGAUGUCUUGAAAUGAUUCAAAAAGUUCUCUAAAGCUUUUUGAUAGAUAAAUUUCUUAUCUUUCUAGGUUUGUACACCUAAAAUCAUAUAGUUUUGCUUUGAUCUAUUACUUGACAUUUUAUAUAUCUUGAUCUUAAUUUUAAUGGUUCUAUUGAUGGAAAAUUGAGAGAGAGAUUAGUUCUUUUUCUUUUUUUCUUUUCCUUUAUAAUCUAGGGAGAUGAGAGGGACAUAUUUUUAUCUUUAUAAGAUAUGCAUUUAAGAUAUAAAAAGAAAUAGAGUUUGCUAAUUUGAAUUAUAAAAGGAAGUCAAUUUAGUUAACUAAGAGAAAAUAUUAAAUUAAUAUGUUACAUUAUGUUAGCCUAAACUUGAAAGGAGUCCGGUCAAAUAUUUUUGUACUAGCUUAGAUUUAAUUAUACAAAUUUAAGCAAAUGCCAUCACGUUCUAAAACUUAAUUAAAUAAUGUUUCUCCUAAAAGAAAAACCAAUAAUCAAAAUUUGAGGAAGAAAGAUAUACAAAUAAACUUUUUAUAUAAAAAUCUUCUUACGUCCAAACAUAUGUGAUCGAUAUUCUUUCUCAUGAAAGACCAAUCAUUUAAAAUAAAUGGGACUCAUAUUUACACCUUAUAGCUUAUAAAUUGACAUGUCAAUUUAUAUGAAUUAAUAUUAAAAAUUUGUUUGUAAAUCAUUUUCCAAAAUUAAAUCAUUUUUUUAAAGUUUGAUCAAGUUCAAUAUGAGAUUUAGGAAUACAAAUAAAGUAGAGCAUUCUUCAUUACGAUUACCUAUUACCUAAAAAAAACUAAAUGGCAUUGGUGUUUUAUUGUAACCUAAUCCACAAUAAAAUAUGUCUUAGAUUUGGGUGGUGAUGUUGAUAUCUUUUUUUUUGCACAAUAAAAAUAAUAUUUUACCCCUAAAGUCAAUAAAAUAUAAACAGUUGACCAAGAGCUUUCUUGAAUUUGCAUAAGCUUCUUUACAAUAAAAGUAUGUAUUUGCCCCCAUAGUCAAAAAAUUAUUAUGCUACUGGAUAAGGGUGUUUUGGGAUUUUUAAUUUUUAAUGCAUAGUGCAAUUACAUAUUUAAUCUUGGAAGAGACAAAACAUAAGUUUAACAUUUGAGAAUAUUUUUGUACUUUCAUAUGGGCAUUUUGUGUAAUUGCAGGGGUUGUGGGGGGGGGGGGGCAUUUUUGUAUUUUCAUAUUUUUUUAAAACAAUUUAAUGCUUAAAUCUAUUGGAGCAUCCUCGACACGCCCCAAUGCAUGGGUGGCGUCCGUGUCGCGCCACCUGUUGGACAUAAUUGGCCUUCUGUCAUCUUCCUAGAUGGGUCGUUGUGUACAUCUUCUGUUUGGAGUGGUGUAUGGCAAAUUACGGUGAUCGGAUUGUCAUUCAUGGUCGUUUGAUUUUUUUUUUCUUCUUUUGUCUCUGCCGACAUGCAAUAUACUCUAUUGUCCUCUUUGUUCUUACUUUUCAAUUUCAGUCCCCAUUCUAUUAAUUUUUUAUUUCGUUCCUUUUUCCAUUCAUAGAAGUUUUUAUUAUUUUCAAUUUAGUCCUUCAAUUGCAAUUUCUCAUAUGUUUGAUUUUUCAUUUUAGUCCUUGUAUUUUUAAAUUUCUAAUUUUAUCUUUGACACUUUUGUUGAAGUUUGUUUUCUUUCAAUUUCAUCAUUCAAACAAAUAUUUUGUUGUUUUUUUUUUUCAGUUUAACUCUCAUUAUUUUGAGUUUUUUCCUUUUAUUAAAGCUAUUUUCAAUUCAAUUGAACCCUUCAAAUUAAAAUUUUUAUCCCUCUAAUUAUUUUUUUUCUCACUCUCAUUUUUUCGAUCAUUUUGUGUAAUUAAUUUUUUUUUCUAGUUUUAUCUUUCAACAUUUAAAUUGUUUGGAAUUCGACUUUGUUUGAUCUUAUUGUUCUGCAUUAGUUUGUUUUUAAUAUUGGUUUUGUGGUUAUCUUUAAGUUUUUUCUAUGGGUUUAUCUCGGUCUUAUGAUUUAGGUCACGAUUUUUGCAUGUCUUUUUUUAAUAUAAGGUUUUUUUAGUUGUUCUGUUUCUAUUUUAUUUUUCAAUGUAUUAUUCUAAUUCAUCUAUAUUUGUUUUUUUACAAACAAAGUUUAUUUUUUAAAAUAAAAAAUAUUCGUUUUAAAAAUAAAUUACUUCUGUGUUCGGCCUUACGUAAUAUUUCUUAUUAUGUGAGUUUAUUUAGUCAAUUUUAUUUGUAUUUAUUUUUUAAGUCAUUGGUUUUAGAGUGUGGAUUUAUCUUUUAUUUAUUUAAAUAAAAAGUUCAGCAAAUACAAUCGGAUACUUGCAUAGGCUUUUCAAUUUACACUUCGAAUUUUUUUUAUAUAAAAAAAACAUUGAAACAACCUACAUAUCCAACGUUUUUUUUUUUUUUUAUAUAAAAAACAUAUUGAAACAACCUAAAGCUGUUAAAUGGUAUAACCUAAAGCUCAAUCAUCGCGCCACAGGCUUAACCAAGUAUUUCUUAAUUAUUUAUAACUCAAGACUUAUGAUAUUAUAGCUUUUAUUCCAGGGAAUUAACCAAAUCAACACUUUGGCAAAUCCCCUCUAUAAUUUGUUGUGCAAUUCUACGUAGUGUUUGAUCAACGAUCAAUAGUAACCAAAGAUUGGCUAUGUGAUUGCAGGAAAUUGGUUCUUGAUACAGAUUCUAAAUUAAGUGGUGCUCCAUAUUUUUAAAGCACCUGUAGUCCAAGCUGUUGCGGUUUUGGCUUUGGUAACUAGAACUAGAGACUUGUUUGCUAUAGAGUGGAAUGUUCACGUGCAGAUAGGCCAGGGCUUUUAAGAAAUUAAGAACAACAAACCAAACUAUACAACUUGAAAGAAAGAAAGAAACAUAUUCUUAACCUGCAUCCUUGUUUAACCAAAUGGAAGGCAAUAUUCUGUGAAAUCUCAUCUCCAUUUGAAGUAAGCAACACUUUAUUUGCCCCACUUCCCAUUCUCCAAUCCAAACUUGAUUUUCAAAAGAAACCCUGUCAGCUAAAACAACAGCAAAAUAAUUCAUCAUCCAAAAUACACAUAAUUCACGUUAAAAAGAAAGAAAAGAAUUCUCUAUCACACAGAUGAUGGUACCUCACACGAAACUAAUUGAAUGAAGAGAAAGACAAAAGAGAGAUGUCUCGUCAAAUGAAUGAAUGCUAGAGCUGUGUCUGUCCGUCUGUCACGAGUGGAGUUGUCCCAGCAAAAUUCGGCUAUUCUUCAUUUUUAAGAGCCUUUCAUGGAUGAUCUAGCUCCCGAGCAGGUUAAUUUGCUUCCAUUUCUGUACUAUGAUUUUACUGAGACCAUGUUCUCUCGCCCAGUUUUGCUUAAUUUUCGGGGGCAUUGUCCCUUUCACUGAAAAGAGCAAAAAAAGACACGAAAUCUUUUCCGAGUUUACCACUUCCUUAAUGAAUCACAAAGACGCGUGAGAGUGCACAAACACAUUAACCUAUGUCUAUGUAAAAACAAAGCUUUGCUUGGGGAGUAACCCCCGCAUAAGAUUUAAGGCUAAACGAGGAUUUAUGAUUUCUACAAUCCUAAUCCACUUAAUUUUGAAUUUGAAAUUAAUUACUUGUAAGCACAUUCAUGUACCUAUACAUAAAUAAAUAUACCUGGUGAUUCCAAGUUUAUUUCUAGUGCUUGGUGUCUGUUAAUGAAUCUUGGCCUAUAUGAAAUUGGCUUGCAGCUGUCGGUCCAUAAAAUCAUCCUGUUGCGAUGAAUGUUACCUGAAAAUUGAAAUAUGAGGGGUGAGGUGAAGAUAGAUUAGGGAAUGUUCAUUAAUGGUUUUAAAUUACAACAAUUCCACUUGACCUUCUCCAUGGUAACUUCAGUUUUUUUUUUAGGGGGGGCACAAAGAUGACUAUUUCAAUGAUCCUAAUCCACCGUAGAUAGGAGUUGACAUACCAUUAUCUCUUAAAAUUUCUCUAAACUCUGCUCGACUUCUCCAUGAAUUUGUUGAAGAAGAACCUUAGUUAAUUAAUGAAGGCAACAAAUAACUCAGCAUUUUGAAAAUUCACGAGAAAGAAAUUGAAAUAACUCAGCUUAUGAUACUUUUUUAAUGCCAACCAAAGCCAAGAUUACAUAAACUUGUAAUCAUACUCUCUUCUUAUUAGAUUCUUGUCUUUAAGAAUCAAGACAAAAGUUAGGAAAUUGAUUAGUCCAAAACUUCUCCAGUAGAAUAUUUCUUAAACAGAUUGGACCAAUGGAUGAGCCCCAUGAGAACCUACCUUUUUUUCAUAAUCUUUCUGUCCAAAAAUGACCACUGGAUUAACCUUAACUCUCCUAUACUCAUCUAUUAACCUUAACUCUCCUAUACUCAUCUACCUUGGGUAAUAAUGAAGAUAAUGCUACAUUAUUUUCCACUUUCUUGUUAAGCAAAGAUGCAUAAAAAAAAAUGGAUGAUAGGUCCCACUGCAGCUAUAACUUGUAUGCUAUUAAUCUAAUUCUUUGUAUAAUUUUGGAUGACCAUAAAACUUGAGAUUCAACUUAAUAUUUUUUUUUAAAGUCACAUUGGUCUACUUAUAAGGUUGAAGUUUGAGGUACACUGAAUCCCCUAUCUGAAAUUCUCUUUUUUGUUCUUUCUUUGUCGGUAACAUAUGUUUCAUUUCAUGUCUGGCCUUUUUUUAUUGUUUGUUUAAUAAUUGAUCUAUUUUAGCCAUUUUAUGAAUUACCUUUUUGAAUAUAGACAAUAUUGUAGUUUUUUAUAUAGUUAAUUCUUUGUUUGGUGGAGGGUAUUCAUAUAAAGCUUGAAAAUAACUCAUCUUAAUAGAAAAAAUAAAAUCUUGAAUUGUAUCAUCAUUGAGCCAAUGACAACCAACAAUAUCAUUUAUUUAUAUUGUAUAUUGCCAUACAUUUCACUAUUAGUAUGUGAGUUAUAUGAUGAACUCAUUAACAGCUCCACCUAUAACAACUUAAACAACUCACUCCAAAAUAAUCCAGUUAAAACCUUAUCCCUAUUUGUUAUAAUAGUGAUUGCAUGGGGUUUGUAAAAAUAAUUUAGAAACACUUGAAUUAUAUCAUGGGUUGUAAAUGAGUAUGUUAGUACUUUGAAGUGUCAAUACUUGGUGAAUCUGCCAACUAUUAUCAGUAUUGUAUCUUCCCCCCAUGAUUGUGGUGGUCCUUUUAUGAAAUCCAUAGUUAUCCAUGUUCUUUCUGAUAUUGGAAAAUAUGCUUUAAACUCUCAUGAUUAGUUUUAAUGAUGAACUAAAUCAUGCUCCAGGUAGUGUCUUUAUCUUUCUAUUGCAAUUAGUAUAGCCACAUAUUCCUUAUUAUAAAUUAAUAGUCCAAGAUGCCUUAGACUCAAUGCUUUGCUAAAAAAGAUUAAUGAUCUCCCAUCAUGACUUAAAACAAUACAUAAUCUAUUUACAUAUGCAUUCAUCUCCAGCAUAAAAUUAUUGUUAAAAUUUGGCAAUACUAGUAUUAAAGUUUUACAUAAGACAUUUUUUAGCUUGUUAAAAGCUUCUCAAGGUUUUCCAUUCCAACUAAAAUUGUUUUUUUUUAACAAUUCAGUAAAGGGUUUGAUGAUGACUCUAAAUCCUCUAAUAAACUUCCUGCAAUAUCUUGUCACUCACAGGAAACCUCUUAAUUCUUUAACUAGGGGAGGAGGGGGUUAGCCUUCUCUUCAUAACCUUUAUCUUUCUUGGAUUAGUUGUCAUACCAUCUAUUGAGAUUAUAUGCCCAGGGUACUCAACCUAUUGCUCAUAAAAGGAACAUUUUGAUUGCUUUAAAAAUAUUUAAUUAUACUUUAGUGUUUCCAAUAUUAUCCUUAGAUGAUUAAUGUGUAGUCCUAAAGUUCUAAAGUAGAACUAUAUAUAAUAAUAUCAUCAAAGAACAACAAUAUAAACCUUAUAAAAAUUAGUUUCAAUAUAUUGUUCAUUUAGGAUUGAAAUGUAGUUGGUGUAUUAGUCAAGCCAAAUGGCAUAACUUUGAACUCAUAGUGUCUAUGAUGAGUUUUAAAAGUUAUUUCUCCACAUCUUCUUCAUAUAUUCUUACCUGGAGAUACCCAGAUCUUAGAUCUAGCUUUGAUAAGAACUAAUAACCAUGUAAUUCAUCCAUCAAGUCAUCAAUUAAUGGAAUGGAAAGCUUAUUGCUAAUAGUCAAAUUAUUGAAUUAUUUGUAAUUAACAUAUUACCUCUAUGUGUUACCUUUUUUUUAACCAACAACACUGCAGAAGCAAAUAUAUUGUAAAUGUGUUGAAUAAUUUCAUUCUAUAACUUCUUUAACAACUUUUUUAUAUCUUUAUCGUGCACAAGUGAGCUCUUAUAAAGCCUAAUAUUGAAUGGUUUGGCUUUAGGUAUGAGAGGAAUCCUAUGAUCAAACUUUUUAACAGGUGAAAGGUGUUUAGGUUCUACAAAUACUAACUUAUAUUUUUCUAGAAAUGCCUUCACUUUUAAUUUUUUCACUAAUUGUUUAUGUUCUUCACAUACUUUUAUAAAAAAAAUUGCAUCACAAAACCAUACACUACUUCCUUCAAGCUUUUAAGUGUCAUUUGUAAUUUAUAUUCUACUAUAAUUCCCUUUAACUCAAUCAUCCUUCCAUUUUUUUAAUGAUAAUUUUAUUUUAAUAUGUUCAAAUAGAAUUAGUGGGUAAAUCCUUAUCACAUCUUUCUAGUUUCAACACUCUCAAAUUUGCUUAAAACUCAAAUCCAUGCAUAAACCAUAUGAAUCUAGGACUGCGAGAAUUAUAUUUCAUUAUAAUUUUAUUAGCUACUGUUACAAUAAGCAUGAUGGUCUUCUCAAUAACUAUUUUAAUUUAUUUAGUCACUUGUUCAUCAAUGAAACUAUAUGUACUACCACUAUCAAUUAAAAUGAUAAUGUAUCAUUCUUGACAAAUUCCUUCGAUCCGGAUAAUGUUAUGUGCAUAACUUUCAACUAGUGUAUUAAAAUGUAGGUCAUGGUCCUCAAUAUUAUCUUCUUUAACAUUAAUUCCAUUACUAUUAUAUUAUUUCAUAUCCACAAACUCUUUCUUAUCCUCUUCCAACUCUUUUAUCAUAUGUAUUCCUUUUAUUCUGCAUUGAUGUCGAAGUGUGCAUUUUUCCCCACAUCUAAAACAUUGCCCCAACCUUCUUCUUCACUCAUAUAUGGUCUCAGAAAGGUAUUUUGAACUAUGAGGUAGUUCUAUUCUAGAAUUGUUAAAAGAUUUUGAUGGUGGAUUACCUGGUUGUCAAGUAACAUUUAUUUGAAUGAGUUUGUUCUUCUUGGCCAAGGUAUUAUUAGACUCCUCUCACCAUUUAGCUUAAUAAAAAAAGUCUACAUUAGAACUAUUAGCUUGGGAAUCUUGAGCAUUAGCUUGAUGUUAUCAUUGAAUUCACUUAUAAAGCUAGAAAUAUAAUAGGAUUUUGGUAGCGAUGGAUGUCGUGUCGUACAUGGGAUCAGACAAAGGGUAUGACUCCUGGAUCAUGGGGGUUUUGAAAACGUUAGGAAAUAAUCAUAAAAAUAUGAUUAAUAGGGUUCAGGAGUUUCCACCUAGUAUUAUGAUCACUAGAAAAUCUAAUGGUCUGCGAGAGACCGUGUAAGGUUCCAUUGUUGCUUGAUUGUUAUUUUAAGUUGUAUUUCUAUUUGUUGGUUCAUCUAAGGUUCAAGGCAGAUCUUUCUUUAUAAGGAAGUCUCUAUAUCAGGUUAAAUUUUAAUCAUUCUAGGACCUAAACUUUAGCAUUGCACUUAUUUCCUACUUUGUAUCUUUAAUACAUGAGGAUAUAUUUUACAAUGUAAUUUUAUAUCCUCAAAUAAUAAAGUCUAUAAUUAGUUUCUAAUAUUUAUUUGUAUUAAUUCAUUUAAUUUAAUACCAAAAGUAUGCAUUACAUAUGCUGUAAAAUUCAUACCCCGAAUAUUAAUUGAACAAAUUAAUUUGUGGUAUUUUUGAAAUUUUAGUCAAAUUCUAAUAGAUAAUCAUAAACCAGUUAUGAUAUUCAUUUUGGUAUUUUUAAAACAUAAUAAAAAUGUAUUUUUAUUUUUUUAGAAAAUAUGCCCGAAAAACCUUUAGAAUUUGAUCGUAUGCAUAAAAACAAAAAAAUAUUUUUGGAAUUUUUUGAAAUUUCAAAGAGAAAUCAGAUAUUUUUAAUAUUGGAUCCGUAUCUUACAGUGUCAGUUUAUAGCCUGAUAUUAGGUAAAAUUAUUAAAAAAUCACACGAAAGACCCAUAAAUAAUUUAAAAAUGAUCCCUAAAUUUUUUAUAACUAUUUUAGAGUCUGUUUGGCUAAACAGUAAAAUAAUAACAAAUAAAAUCUAAUGGGAAUGCAGUAGGGUGUGUUUGGCAAGCACACCCUUAGCUUCAAAUUAGAGGCAUGAAAAAUAAUUUAAGACAAUGUUUGACAAACACACUUUAAGAACCAAAACAAGGCACUUUUCCUAGGACACAAAUAGAAUGUGUCAAACACGCCCUUAGGUAUGGGUUGGGCUUGGCCCAACCCAACCUGAAUUUGUUGGGCCAGCAAGCGGCCCAACAUGCUUCUUCUUUCUUUAUUUUUUUUGUUUUAAAUGAAACCCCGCCCAGCUACACGGGCUGGGCUUGGGUAGGGCCCAAUUACUCUGCCACAGGCCCGACCAAAUGGCUUCCAUUUUCUGGCAAAAAUGUCAGCAACGUGAAUGGAUGAUUCAAGUUAUCCCCAUGCAAUUAUCACCAUACAUGAAUGAUGAAAGGAAGAAGGAAAUGUUACCUAGGCGAGAGGAGAGUGUUGACCGUCGGUUGGUGGCGCUGCUGGAGAUGAUGGUGGCUCAUGGUGGUUGUUGGAGAAGGAAGAAGUUGCUGCUCUGUUGAAGCUAGUGCGGUGCUGAAGGAUGACGAUGCACACUGCUGCUGCUGGAGUGAAGCUGCGCUGCUCGAUGAAGAAGAAGUAGUUUCUCUGUUAAAGACUUCAACUGCUGCUGAUGAAGACUCCAGCUGUUUCAAAUGGCCAAAAACACAGGAGGGGCAGCUACUAGAAUUGAAACACAGCUGCUAGAAUACUGGAGCUCUCGGCUGCGCAGAAGAAAAGCUAUUGCUGGUGCAGAGCUGCUCUUCUGUGAUGCUUCAAUGGAAACCAAGAACAGCUGAGGAAGAUGUCAGUUGCCACACUGCUGAGAGGGACAGAUGUAACCCUACACGGCUGUUGCUUCUUCAAACUGUUGCUACAGGAGGAGCUGUUGUUCACGACUAAGAUCACUGUGCAAAGAAACCGACGCAGCUGGAAAGAGGAAGCUUCCACUGAUGGUGACGGUUGAAGCUUCUGGUAAAGGCUGACGGUUAAUGAACAGGAAUGGUUGAGGCUGAGUUGUUGGUCACGAUAUGUUCUUCCCUUCCAAGCCAGUCACCACAAAUCUUUGCUUUCAAAGAAAUAAUUCAUCUUCUCUUCCCUGGUGUUAAUUAGUCAUGUUUUUCUUUUCUGUUUUGGGAGGUACUGGUCUAGUUUUGAGGAUCAAUCAACCGUGGGAGUGAAAGAGGAAUUGAUGACGCUGCUUGGAAGGUAACGGUUGAAGUUGCUGUUGGAAAAUCUUUCACUGCUAUAGUCGAUUGAAGAUGAGAUGAAUGUUGUUGUUGUUGUUGGCUGCCAUGGCUGAGGUGUUUAUGGUGCUUGGCUGACAGUUGGUCGGAUUGACUGAGGAACACCACAGGGCUCACCGUUGCCUCUGGAGAAGUCUGCUCACGGGUUGUAUCCAAGGACUGCUGUCAGGACUGAAGCUCAUGGUGGAGUUGAGAGGAGAUUCCUGGUGUGGAGGUUAAUUAGUAAUGUGAGAAAUGGUGGUGCUCACGGUGCUGUGCAGAGAAGAACUAUCAAUGGAGGCUGGGAGAGUUAAUUAUUUUUUAUUGCUUCUCUUCCUUUUUUUCUCAUUUAUGACGUUUAUUUCUUUCUUUUUUUAAUGCCCCCAAAAUUCCCCCUUCUCUCUCUCUGUUUUUUUUUUUAAAAAAAAUUAUCAGUUUCCUCUCUCGGUUACUCGGUUUCAAGCAACUAAAAAAUCACUUUGAUCUUUAAUCUCUCUUUUUUUGUUUUUUGGUCCUCUUGUGUGUCUAUAUAUAUAUAAUUUUUUAAUUUUCAACUCUUUUGAAAAAAGCUGAAAAUAAUACAAAUGCAUCAAAGAUAUAUAUAUUUUUGUUUUUUCACUAUUUUUUAUUUUAAAAAAACAUUAUUAAUAAAAUAAGAUCAAAAUCAAGUUAUAAUAAUAGAUUUAAAACAUUCAUUAAAGAUUCGAGUUUUUCAAAUCUUUCCCUAUAAUUUUUUUACAUCCUUAUCAUACACUAAUUUAUUAAGCUCCUCGACCUUGUUACUUUUUUUAUACCUUACAUUAAUUUGUUAAGCUCCUCCACUAUAUUUUUUUCUACUACAAAAUCAUGUAAAUGAGCCUUGUAAAUAUUUUCUACUUAGCGAAAUCAUCUCCUCCCAAUAAAAAACCUUUAUACCAUAUUUUUGUUUUUCUUUCUAUUUCCCACCCAUUGAUAUACCAGUGUAAAGUGUUAUCUUGAAAAGUUUCUCGUACUUCCUAAUCUGUCCUCUUAGAUUUUCUUUCCAGAAAGUAAGUAGUUAUACCUAAGGUGUGGUGUCACGUUACACCCCAUUUUAUGAAUGUCAAGGUUAAUUUCCAAUGGUUUCCUGUAACCUCCAUGGUUAUGAAUUAUUCCAUCAAAAACUGAGUUGUUCAUUUCUUCUUUCUCUCUGGAUGGCCAUGAAUGACUUCAAAGUGGCCAUCAUAGCUUCCAUUUGCAUAUUGAUACUGUGCUCAGCCUUUUUGGUUGGUUCUUGUCAUUGCUUCUGAUUUUCAGCUAUGGAAUCUUGGAGUUCUUGUUGCAUGCUUUGCAUUUGUUCAUCAAGCCUUCUGUUGUGCUCUUCCAAUGCCUUAAUCUUGUUAUUUAUCAUCAUGGUUUACCUCUAGAAUUGUUUAAUAUGCAAGAUUCUAUUAUUGGUCAAGGAUUUUAGGCUCCAAUACCAAUUUGUUAAGAACUUUCUUAACAAAACAGUGUAGUUUUAGAAGAAAUGUAGGAGAUAAAAACAAGAAAGGAAAGAUAGAGAGAAUGCAGCUCAAAACAAGAAAAGAAAGAUAAAGUUCAUACUCACAUGAGGUUUUAUUGUUUCUCUUCUUUUGACAAAGAAUCCAGGAUCCCUCCUCCACUUGCUUGUCAAUGGGUGGUAGGUGGGGUGGUCUGUUCGAAGAUAAUGCUAUCCUAAGCGUUGAGGUCUAAAGAGCGAACUUCCAAGAAUUCGGUGUUAGGAUUAAUUGACAUCCACGAUGAAUCAGGAAUUUCGGACAAAUUGGUUAUGAAGAGAUCCCCCGAGAAGAAAACAAGAAGCAGCCGAUUCCCUAAGCUAUCAGGUUGGCCUUCUUAUGUUCCUCAACACUUGUAUAUUCUGUACAAAUCUCGGAGCUUUUCACAGAUGGGGGAUGGGAAAACGCAUGGAAGGAUCCAAUAGAACCAAGAACAGCAUCCAUAGCGGAUAUUAUAUCAUCUUUUUAUGUAGUUAUUAUCGAAUCAAAUCCACUGUAAUGCUCAAUUUCCAUUGAUGUUGCUCCUCCUGAAAAGGACUCGCCUUGUAUAUGAAAAUCAAAAGAAAAGGACAUUUAAAAUACAACAAUAUUGUCCUCAAAAUUAAGAAAACCUCAAAAUCAAAAGAUAAGACAAAAGCGCUGCUUUCUACUCUCCUUUCUAUGAAUCUGCACCAAGCAAUAAUCAAAGCUUAAUUAUUGUUUUAUAAACAUAAUUCAUGUCUAUACGCCUGCAUGCUUGAGCAUCGCCCUAUAUAAACUUAGCACAGUGUUGCUACCCAACCUUCAAACCAUUUUUUAUCGUUUAUAUCGUUGGCCUAAAUAUUGAUUCCUUCUCCCUAGGUUGUUCCAUCACCAAGAAACAAAGCCUCUUUAACAUGGAGGCCAAAGCCAGCUCAGGCAUUCAACUUCCUCCAGGAUUUAGAUUCCAUCCAUCUGAUGAGGAGCUCAUAGUGCACUAUUUGAAGAACAGAGUCAGUUCAAGUCCACUUCCUGCAUCUAUUAUUGCUGAGAUAGAUCUCUAUAAGUAUAACCCAUGGGAGCUACCAAGUCUGUAUAUAUUGCGUUUCUAUUGGUUCCAUUUUUCUUACAUGCAUCUUUUGUAUAGUAAUUGCCUACUGACAGACACCUUUUCUUUCAAAAUAGAGAAAGCUUUGUUUGGCGUGGAUGAAUGGUAUUUCUUUACACCAAGGGAUAGGAAGUACCCCAAUGGAGCGCGGCCUAACAGGGCAGCAGCUUCAGGUUAUUGGAAGGCAACAGGGACAGAUAAAUCGAUUUUUAAUUCCUUCGGAACAGCCAAAAUAGGCGUCAAGAAGACUCUCGUGUUCUACGAAGGACGCCCUCCCAAAGGACUAAAGACAGACUGGAACAUGCAUGAAUACAGAUUGCUAGAUGCCAUGAUUUGGAACAAUUCCAAGAGAAAAGGAUCUAUGAGGGUAAGUGGAAGGGUCGAACCCAUGUCUAAUUCAACUGCCAGUUAUAUUUGAUAACGAUUUACGGAUUGUUAACAACAAUUCUGCUUGCUGCAGUUGGAUGAUUGGGUGCUGUGUCGAGUUAGGCAGAAGAACAGCAUCCCCAGAAACACAUGGCAAGAUCAAAAUAUUCCAAGUUGUGCAUCUGCACCCACCGGCUUGUUCCCAAAAGUGAAUGAGCUACAGCAAAUGAACAUCAACCCCAACACUGAGAUGGUCACGAAUUAUUUUUACGAUGAUUGCCCAAUGUUACCUUGUAUCUUUUCUCCCCAGAAUUUUCCAUCAACUGAAAGAGCCUCAAGCAUAAACUUCCUAAGUAGCGACAAAUCUUGCACUUCUUUUCACAAUUUGUUAAACCUACUGAAAAGAAAACCUGCGGAAACAAACCAACAGCGAGGGAAUUGUUUUCCACCCGGCAAGAUGCUUAGAACAAAGGCAGAUAUAGAGGAGGACGUUGUAUCUAUCAGAAACGAUGGCACUGAUGAGAAUUUCAGCGGAACAGAUCAGUCUGAGAGUGGCAAUUUCAGCACUGAGCAAUGGAAUUCUCCCAUGCAAUAUCAAGAGUGUAAUCACCUAACCUUCACAGGAAAUCACCUAACUCUUGAUUAGAACAGUAUCAAGAGUUUAUAUUUGUAAAUAUCACGGUGGCUAUUUAUACAUUCAGAUAGCUAGGUACGGUGAUUUGUAUAGUAUAAGGAUCUUAGCAAAUAUGGUGAUUCAUUCCUAGUGGAUAGCUUGUAUAAAUUACUACUAAAUACACUAAAAGACUUGGGGUGUUAUGGUUAUGUGAACAGUAACAUUUUUUUUUUUCAUUUUCAUUCUUAAGCUUUUCUUUCUCCGAUUGCAUCUAUUUAUGGCUAAUUUAAUGAGUUAUGGUUUAAAAUAAAUAAAAGAAAAAUAAAAUUCAAUAAAAUUGUACCAAAACAUAAAACAUGAGAAACCUACAUGACCAAUAUGAAAUUCACGCAAAAAUUAUUUGAUCAAAAAGUUUACUUUGUUCAUUUCUAGAGUUUGGGAGAAAAAAAAGUGAAACUUGCUAAAAAAUAAAGAAAAAAAAAUAAAAUUAUUUGUUGGCUAUAUUCUAACAAAAAAAAAAACUAUCUUAGUGUUAAUUAUUUUUAUUUAAUAAGAGAAGUUUUAUUGAGGUAUUUUUUAUUUUUGACGUGCUAGAAAAAAAAGAUCAAGAUUGAGAAAGAUUUUUUUUAAAAUUUUAAAGUAAUUUGAGUUGAAAAUUUAAUUUAUCGCUCAAUAAAAAUAUUUAUUAGAUGAAAAUAUAAUGAAAAAUAAAUUUUUAGUUCUCAAAAAUCUCAGCCUGAUUUUAUGACCACUUUUUUGUUCUCUACAAACUUAGUUUGUUUCCAACUUAUUUUAUCCUAUACAUAUAAAUCAAACAAUGAAAACACACAUGAAUCAAUAUUUUAGCUAUCCCAAACCUCGCAAAUAUCCUAGCCACGCACUCUUAAGUAUAAUAAAAGAAUAUUUUAAUAUUGUAAAUGUAUUUUUAAAUAUCAUAUUUUUUUUAAUUAAAACCUCAAACAUAUUGAUUACAUUUAAUAGAACAAGAUAAAAAAUAUACAUGAAUCGAUAAACCAAAAAAAGUUGUUGAAUUAAAUUAGCCUACAUGCCCCAACAACACCACCUCUUUUGUUUUUUUUUUUAAAAUUUAAUACUCUCCCUCUUUUUUAUUUAUGUUUUUCUACUUUGCAUAAAUUUCUUUAUUUAAAUUUUACUUCACACUCCCUCUCUUAUUCUUUUUAAUUGUUUAGUUUAUCUUUUUUAAAUAGUUUUUAUUUUUUUAAUUCUUUAACUCUGCAAUGCUUCAAAGAAAUUAUAUUUGUAUUUGUGUUAUAUAUUUAUAAUUUAAAGUUAAAACAAGUUGAAAAGAUAGGAUUUUGGAAUUUCAAAACUUGAGACAUGAUUUUUCAUCUAUAUAAGUGCUUGAGAAAUAUUGCAAAGGAUGACAAGUCAUCUGUUAAAGCAGACGACCUAUUAUUCGUGUAAAAGAAGCAUGGGCGGAUGAUGCUCCAUUAAAAAAAGUGCAGCCUAGGCGCAUUUAAGCUUUUGAGUUGCUGGCGCGCUAGCCUAGCAGGGCCUCAUCGCUUGGGCCUUUUGUUUUGGUAAUUUUAAUUAAUACCAUCUCUCAUAUUAUUAUAUUUUUAAAUCAUUGUUUGUUUUAUUUCAAUAGUUAUUUUUUAAUUGUGUUUUAAAUUUAUAAUCUUUCAAAGAAGUUUGUGUAAUUUAUCUUUAUUUUUUGUCCUUUUAUGUUUUAUAUAAAUAAAUUUUAUUUAUAUGAUGAAUUUAUAAAAAUAAAAUUCAUUUAUUCUUGGAAAAAAUAAUUUCAAAGAUGAAAUAAAUAAAAUGUCUUUUGAAAAAUUAACUUUCUAUUUUAAUAUUUAUUUAGCAUUAAUAAUUCUUUUUCAGUUUAUUGUUCAUUUAUUUUUUUAACUUGAUUUAUUAAAGGUAAACAGGAUGUUGCAUAUCUUAAUUAAAAAAAAAAAAAAAAACUUGUAAAAUUUGAUUUAUAUGUACUUGGGUCCAAUCUUAAUAUGCCAUUUUUUUUGGACCCAAACAAUUGACUGACCAUUGCAAGAUACAUGAACGACAAACAUCCAUUUCCAUGUGUGAGAAGUUACUCCCAGCAUGAGAAACAAAUCAAAUGCAAAAGCAAGCACCAUAUGAAGUCCUCAAAAUACAAAAUUAUACAGAAAAUGCCAACACUAACACACCAUGGAAAUAGAUUAGGGUAGAUUUUUCAUGUUCUUCACUUCUUCAGCACACUGCAAAGGAAGAAGCUUUGUCAGAGAAACUUCCCAAUUGAAAAAACAACAAAAAUAAGAGCAUCGGCUGAUUCAUCACUGUAAGUUUCAGGGAGAUGCAAGAAGAUGAUCGGUCAUCUCACUUUUGAGGGAAAAUUAAGGGGGAGGAGACCACUAGUAAUUUAGCAAGUCCUUACCAAAAAAAUUUGCCUUGGGUUAGAAGAACCAAGCACAAAUUCUUUCCUAGGUUUUCUAGGUAAAUCAAUAGCUUGACGGCCCCACCACUCAAAGUCAGAAACCAACACUGAAGUCCCGACAAACAAAUUCCACUCUCCAGGCUUAUUUUUCAUUCGACGCCAAAUUCCAGUUUUCAUCAUAUAAAGGCAUACAAAAUGUUUAGAUAUUAAAAUAAGUAAAUGUUGGACCAUCUCCUUUCUACAGUUCACACUUCAAAAUUGUUACAUGGCAUUCAAGAUGCCAGAUGACCCCAGUCAACAACUAUAUAGAUUUUGCGUGGACAGUAGAACAAGAUGCUAGAUGGCCCAGUCAACAACUGUGUAGAUUUUGCAUGCAGUAGAACAAUGAAGACCAAAUUAAGCAUUUGAAAUACAAUGUGUUCUUUAAAAGUUUAGAGUUCAAUGGCAAGGUAAUUGUAUUUUUGACAAAAAUAUACAUGAAAUCGUCUGUGCCAAGUGGCAAAGCCCCCUCAAGAAGGCAGUUAUCUCACAAAUUCUUAAGAAUUUGUUGAUCUGAUUCUUGAACAUACCCUUUUUUGUCAGUCCUUUAUCGCAAAUCCAAUACUUUCAUUUAAUAGACUUAUAACUCAAGAACUAAUGGUAUUAGAGCCUCCACAACUAUAAACCUUGAAGAUAGGUAAGAUGAACAAAAUGCACUCAAAAGAUUUGGAAAUACAAGCACGAAAACCAAUAGAAUUCAAUGGGUAAUCAUAAUUUUAACAGCCUGUACAUCAAAUUGUCUCCAGUGCAAACCUCAAAAAAGAAAAGGAAAAGAAGAAGUAGGAUCAACAGAACUCACAUAAAAGAAAGUAGUAUUAAAUUAUAAAGCUUCUGGUGGAGGGCCAACUGAAUUGACAUUAGGAAGUUCAAUUCAUUAUUAUAACUAUAUUUCAAGUUUCACUAAAGAUUUUGUUUUGUUUCUUUCCUAUUGCAUGUAUAUUUUGUAUAAAACUAGAGUUUUGGUGUGCCCAUUAAAAUGCAUUUUUUAUUUGGACAGCUACUUUUUAUGGAAAAUGAGAACUUGAGUUGCUACCAAAGGUAGAUUUCCAUGUACGUUUGAGGUGGAUUUCUUAUGUGCUCUUAUUUAGGCAGUGGAUUCCUCUUGUUUAUUUCACUUCUACAAAGUAGUGAGAGUUGCAGGUGAAGAAAUAACAUGCUCAUAAACACAGCUAAGGUGAAGAUGUUAAACCAGAUGUUUGUACACAAAAGAAAGGAUUAGUCAAGAAAUGAGUCCAUCGGGUGAAGAUGAAGAUGGCAGCUAUUAAGGAUGAGGUCUGCGAUGGUGUAGCCAUAUGAAACAUAAACCUAUGAAUACAAUGGUAAGGAAGACAUCAACUUAAAACAUUGGGAUGCAAGAGGGUACAAGUGCGAGAAAAAAUGACAUGAGCUGAAGUAAUAAAAAUUGAUCUAGUAUGACAACAGAUUCCCAAAAGAGCACCCACAACAGAAUUAAAUGAAGCAACUUCAUGUAGCUCCCCAAGUGUGUGGUAAAGCGGAGUCAAAUUAAGUUUGCUCGUGAAAUUAAAAAAUUUCACUCUUCUUCCUUGGCCCCCAUUUUGAGAAAUUUCCCAGUAUAAUGUUGCUUUUAAAGUUAGUUCAUCCUAGCUAUACUAUGUGAACUACCAGAAAAAGGAUUCUCAUAGUAUCGAUUCACAGUGGAAUAAAGUACUCAAUGAGACAAGAUUGCUCACUUACAAUAACUAAUCCUGAUUUAAGAAUUGCUUCGAUGAGUUAUAUUGUCAAAUGAAUCCUACAAAAGAGCUUGAUCUAACUCUGUACGAGGAAUGGAGGAAAGCCCCAUUAAGCUCGACGCUCAUGUGGAAUUAGAAAACAAAGAAAGCUCACCCAAACAUAAUGGGGACAUGCCGAAAAUGGCAGCAUAACACUUGAUUGCAUAUAAAUGAUGAUAGACAUGUAAGCUACUUAUGAAAGAAGUAGGAACUUACUUGUACAAGUAGGCAGCUAUUCCGAGGAUUAUGAUCAACAAAACAAUAUCAAUACAGAAAUUCCGACUAGAUCUCAACUGGAAUAGAAUGGAAACUUGUGUCAGAUUCAGAAAGAAGCCUAAAUCUGGAUGCUUCUUAAAAGAAUAAAAGUUUAAACUUUGUAAAGUUGAAAGUUCAAUCACCUGGUUAACAGUGUCUUUAAGUCUAACAUUGGUAUUCUUAAGGUCAGCAGCUGCCUUGUCCACCUGUAAGGAAGCAUAGAGAGCACUUCAUAUCAACUCUAAAUUCCAUAUGAGUGGCAUUGAAAAUUAGAGGAUACAGCAAUGCUUCUCACCUUAGUGUCAAUUUCAUCCAUCAAAGGAACUUGCCUGUCCAACUCCUGCACAUAUCACAUAACACACUGAAUUCAAAUGCCAUGGUCAAUUACAUAUCUGCCAAUAGUCACAUACAAACAGCUUUUCUUACAUAUCCCACAUUUCAAACAUAUUUUCCAGCACACGAUAAGUACCUCAUUCAUGUCAUGAGCCAUAUUCUUCAGAGUGUCCAAACCUUCUGAAAUCAUACUCAAACCUUGAUCCUGGAGGAAUGUGAAAGUUAAUAACAAGGGAAACCAUGGGCCCAAUAGCUUGCUUCAAUUACAGGAUGAAAGACAAACAGAGUGCCACUUUAUCAGUCUUGCCUGCUUCAUUUUACGCAUUUCAUACUCCUGCCUGAAUUGACUAGAUGUCUCACUUUCUUGAAAGUAUUCAUUAUCAAACUGCCCAUCUAUUACCCAAAGGAAAUACAUAAUUAGAAUACACUAAUUAUCCACGAACCAUGAGCUAACAAGGAGAAAAAUCAAACAUCACUCUAAAUAUUGAAAUAAGCUACAAACGAUUCACAAAUCACCUGAAUCAAAUUUGAUUUCGGUUCGGGGAGCCGAAGACCCCCAACCUCCAGUUUGUUUGAGUGCAGCUGAACUUCCAUCUGGUAUAGCUUGAAUCCUAUCUGGCAAUGCAUGGACCAAAUCAUUUCGUGCAGCAAGUUCUUCUAUAGAGAGCCCUUUAACCUGUCAAUACACCAACCCUGAUGCUGUCAAUUCUAUACUCUGGACCCUAAAUACCAAUUCAUGAUAGAAAACCGUGAAGAUCAAAGAGAAAUCCAAGUAUAUUAGCGAGUGAUUUCACUUUCUGUAGCUAAUUUAUCUACCAAGUCAGUCAAAAAUCACUUAAAAGAGUUAUCAAAAACUAACCUUCUUUAUUGCUAACCUCUGCAACUUAGGGACUUCCUCAAGCAAUCUAGCUUUAGUUCGACGAAGCUCUGCGUUUAUUGCAACAGCAGAGGCCUUACUUUUCUCCUUGGACGCAAGCUCUGCUUUCUUUAUAGAUCAAAUCACUCCAAAUUCAAUAAUGCAAGCAGAAAUACAGCUAACUGACCUUCCAAUCAACAAAAACUAACACUCCAAGUCUAUAAAUGGACUUAACAGGAGUCCAAAUCAACAAGCAGACACUAAUUUUGAAACAUGAAACAAAUCCAUCUGAUUUCAAAGAGAUCGAAGAGACCUGAAGAGCGGCUUCAAUGUCAGCAUCGACGGCGGCGUAGAGGCGAGCGAAGGCGUCGUCGCCGGAGACAUUGAGAUCUUUUUGCUUCUCGACGUCGUAUUUGUCGUAUUUGUUGCAGAUCGCGUCUACGCGAGUUAAGAUGUCAAUCACGCUCAUUUUUUAUUAUUAUUAUAUCUAAUUAUUAGCUGUUGUUCAAAUUACUGAAUGUUGGUGGAGGUUUGAACGAAUGGAAGAGAGAAGAGAAGAAUUUUGAGUUGAAUCGUUUCAAUUUUGAGGCUUUGGAUAAUAAUUUAGCACGAAACGGUUUCCCAGUGACCCAAAACACAAAUUAUACACAUACUCUUAUUUAAAAUAUAGUAAUAAAUUAAAUACAAUACAGAAUGUGAAAUAUAAUGCUAAUCACAUUACCCCAUAUGUAAAAAAGAAGUAAUAAGGAAAUGAGAGUUUUCAACCGAGAAAUAAUUUUUUUUCUCUCCUUCAUUUAUAUUAUUGAGAUUAUCUUAAUUACUUUCAGUUUUUAUUAAACACAACAUUUUAAAUAAAAAAUAAAAUAUUUCAUAAAAAAUAUAAGCUUCGAUUUAAGAAAUAUAUUUUUUCCUUCAUAAUUUCAAUCCUAUAAACUUUUGUGGAUAUUUAUUUUAAUUAUAGCAAAAUUAAAUAAAAAAAUUAGUUUUAAACAUUAAUUGCCCGCGACAUUACAUGAGUGGAAAAUCAAGUAGAAUACUAUAACCAGAUCAAUUAUAUCCUUUUAAUUUAUAUAUAUAUUAGAAAAAUAAUUUCAACUGGAAAAAUAAUUUCAACUGAUCAAUGCAAUUUCAAUUUCAUUCUGAAAAAUUGGCUAUAAAGAGUCAAAGGCUGUUAACAAGUUUCUUUUCUUUAGCAAACAAAAAAAAAAAAGCGGUGACUUUGCGAAAUUGUCUUCUCUUUCUUCCUUUUCGUUUUCCUUUGUUUUUUUCCCUAGAAUGUUCUUGCGUGGUGUAGAAAGACCUCGGAGUAUUCCACCGACCCAUCUUGCCUUAUUUCUGAAGAAUUCGACUCCAUUCCAUGAAGGCAUUAAGGCGGCUACCUCCUCUUAUAAAGACACAGCACCGCACCCUUGAUCUUUCCCAUCAUCAGCGAUCCUAGCACACAUUCAUUCGAUCUGAAGCCUGCUUUUCUUUUGUUCUAUCAGAAUCUCAGAUAUUUUCUUAAAUCCCUGCAAGCAUGCAGAUCUUCGUGAAAACCCUGACAGGCAAAACCAUAACUCUUGAAGUCGAGAAUUCUGAUACAAUCGACAACGUCAAAGUCAAAAUCCAAGACAAAGAAGGUAUCCCUCCUGAUCAGCAACGCCUGAUUUUCGCUGGCAAACAACUCGAGGACGGCCGUACCCUUGCCGAUUACAACAUCCAAAAGGAAUCCACACUCCACCUUGUUCUGAGGCUUCGCGGCGGUAUGCAAAUCUUCGUCAAAACCCUAACCGGCAAAACCAUAACUCUUGAAGUCGAGAGUUCCGAUACUAUUGACAACGUAAAGGCCAAGAUUCAAGACAAAGAAGGUAUCCCUCCGGAUCAACAGAGGCUAAUUUUUGCUGGGAAACAAUUAGAGGAUGGUAGGACCCUUGCGGAUUAUAAUAUCCAAAAGGAGUCCACCCUUCACCUUGUCCUCAGGCUUCGCGGUGGGAUGCAAAUCUUUGUUAAGACUUUAACUGGAAAGACAAUCACGCUUGAGGUUGAAAGCUCUGAUACAAUUGAUAACGUUAAAGCCAAGAUUCAGGACAAGGAAGGGAUUCCCCCAGAUCAGCAGAGGCUCAUCUUUGCAGGGAAGCAGUUGGAAGAUGGGAGGACUCUUGCAGAUUAUAACAUUCAAAAGGAGUCUACUCUGCAUCUGGUACUGCGUUUGAGAGGCGGGAUGCAGAUCUUUGUCAAGACUCUCACAGGGAAGACCAUCACUCUUGAAGUUGAGAGCUCUGAUACGAUAGACAACGUGAAAGCCAAGAUUCAGGAUAAGGAAGGUAUUCCACCGGACCAGCAGAGGCUUAUAUUUGCUGGGAAGCAAUUAGAGGAUGGGAGGACUCUUGCGGAUUACAAUAUUCAGAAGGAGUCUACUCUCCAUCUCGUGCUCCGUCUUCGAGGUGGUGAUUUCUAAGCGGAACUUAAAUUUGGUGGUUAUGUCUCUUCUUUUCUUUUUUAUCAAUAAAAAAUUAUUAAUAUUUUGUUCGAAAUUAUUCUCUGAAAUUCGUCUUGUUAAAUUUUAUAUAUCUCAAUACCUUUUAAUUAUAUAAAUUCGAAGCACCGAUUAAUUCUAUUUAGCAUAGGAUCAGAAAAACAUGUGAAAGGGUCCUGGAUCUUAAAUUGCCAUUCAACAAUUAACUAGCAACCCGUUGCUUCUUGAAUCUGGCUGAAUGCUUUAAGAGCCAAGUGGGCAUGAUGUGGAGUCCAGUGUUCCUCUGCUCUGCUUUUGUUAGCGGCGUGUUCUGUUUCAGGAUUCAUAAUAUUCCAAGUUUGAUCUUCUUUGCCUACACCGGUACUGGGGAAGGUGACUUGGAAUCGGGCUUGCAUUUUUCACCUAACGAAGGUUCACUGCUCACAGCUACAAGGAAAAAUACAAAAAUAGGAAUUGCAUAACCAAAUCAACACAAUAAUGCCCAAACUCAAAAUCUUCCAUCCUCUGUUGUUUUUCGAAGUAGAAAUCUUCCAUGUCAAUGGCACGCUCAAAAAAUAUUGGCCUGUUGAAUUGGAGGAGUGGGAGUGGUGGUCGGUUCAAGAGCAUCCCUGUCCUCUUUUUCUACAACAUGUUUUCUGUUUUUGUGAGAACUUGGAAUACUGGGGCUGUCUGUCUCCCGGCCGCUAUUUUCAACACAGGGCUUUCUUGGUGAUGCUUGGAGGCCAUCGGUCUCGCCUCUGUAGUUAGGCAGUAAAUGAACAGGGGACAUGGCAUGCGUUGGGAUGCCUGGUGCACUCGUUGCUGGUGUUAUAGUGCUCGGGUGUCGGUUCUGUUUUAUGUGUUUUCUUGCGGUGUUGUGCCAGUUUCUUAUUGCCUUGGCAAGUCACUCAUUGAAGAUUGUUGACCUCAUGGUUGAACCCAUCUGAUUUCAUAAUAUGGACAUAAUUGCUUUAUAAUUUUGUAAUACUGAAACUAUAGGAAGAUCAUAUGAAAAAACAAUAUUAAUAAUGACCAGAGUUAACAAAGAACAAAAAUAAUAUUAAUCAAAUAGCAUCACUAAAUGAUCAAUUAGAGAUACUAUUUGGAUUUAUUAUAAGAUUUAAAACUAAAAUGAUUCAAGAUAAAUUAAUUGGACUGGUAAUGAAUAUUUGAACUAACCAAUUACAAAUAUGAUAGACUAGAUCUUCGUGUAUUGUUUAGAGCCAUAUCUGGAGCUAUAAGUAGAUUUUUGUUGCCACUCUCGUUAGGAUGGAAAUUAAACAUAUCAAGUUUUUCAUUAAUAUAUGGUAGAAUUAGUAAUUCCUCCAAACAAUAAAAAAUAAUGUAUUUGAAGCCGGGCCAUAAGUUGUUGGAUGAGGUUUGCUAUUUGUUUUUUUAUAAUUUGUGGAUUUUUUAUUCAGCAAAGAUUCUUUUUCUCCAAAAAAAAAAUAACCAGUAGAAAUUAGGAUUAUUUUGGGAAGGAUUUUCAUGUCAUCAACUUGUGUUCUUUUUUUUUUUUGUUGAUUUUCUUGUUGGUAAGGUUUUAUUAUCAUUCAAGGAGAGUAAGAUGUGAUUUGGAUUUAUUUUUACUAAUACACAGUUUUAUAUUAAAAAGCAUAAUUUUUUAUUUGAAUGUUGGAUCGAACUGAAAUUUUAUCAAAAAUUUGUUUGGAUCUAUUUUACUAAUACACAGUUUUAUACUAACAAACAUAAUUUUUUAUCUGAAUAUUGGAUCGAGCUGAAAUUAUAUCAAAAAUUUCUUAAGUUUUUUAUAUUGAGUUAUAAUUUUAGGCUAAUCUAAUAUUGUCAGAUUUCUAAAAAAUAAAUAUAGAAAAACCUGAUUUGUAAAUACCCAUUUUUAUCCAUGAACGAUGAUUCAAGUCCGACUCAUAUAAAUUUUCUUUGGAUGCUAUUACUUAAGGUCAGAUAUAUAGAUACUUUGCUUACUGGCCUGAAAUUAUAAUAAAUGAUGAAAGCAACCAAUAUACCCAUCAUAAUCAUAUGAUUAUGAAUGGAAAUUGAUGGUUCUCGCAAAGCCAUGCAUUCUUUACAAGCUUGUCAAGGGACGGCGACGUUUCUUUGGGCUGCAUUGACCGUUGUAUAAAAUCAUUAAUUUCCACUCACUACGCGUGUAUAGGAGGAAAUUAAGGUGAAACUUCACGGAAAAUCUCCGUUGUCUAAUCCAAUAAUAAUAAUAAAAAAAUAGAGAAAAUCCUGUUUAUUUCUCGUGUCAAUUAUUUUACGUCGAAAGAAAGAUUAUUGAGGCACGCGAUUUUUUUCCUGUCCAUUUAUUGCAUCGCAGGAUAUUCUGAACGCUUCCAUUGCGUGCUGUGAUAGAGAGAGAAAUUUACUUUAAGAGGGGAGAAAAUAUAAUUGAGCUUUGACAAAAAAUAAAAAAAAAAACUAUUAAUAAUUAAAGUUUUUCUGAUUAAAAAAUAUGUAAGCGAUAUUGUUAAUGCUAAAUAUCCAAUAAAAUUGUAACGAGAAUACUAAAAUAAUUUUAAAAAAAUUAACAUUCUUAUUAAAUUAAAAAAUAUUUUUUAAAAUAACCGUUAGACUCCACCAUCGAUUAUAUAGAUAAGCUAUACAUAAAUUAUAAUAUAAAACACUCUUGAAAUAUCAUAAAGUUAGAGAGACCGAUCAAAAGUCUUUUAGAUAUAACAAAACCCUUCAUAUUUGUAGACAUGAUUAUCAGUUUGGUAGAUGAACAAUAUUAAACUCACUAUUUAAUUUUGGUAAAUUUAUUUAUUUAUUCAAAAAUUAUUUCUAUGAUUUCUUUUUAGUUUAACUAGUUCUUGAAAAUACUAAUUAAAGAUAUUAAUUUUGCAUAUAUAAAAGAGGAUUUUUAAUGAAUCUUCAUAUUUUUAAAUAAUAAUACGAUCAAAACUUGAUUUUAAGUAAUUAUACACACACACAGAGGAGCGAAACUAGGUUUCAAAAACCAAGCAAGUUGCCCCAUAUAUUUUUAUCAAAUUGCAAAUUGAUUUGAAGUGUGAACUCCAUUUGCUAUUUUCAAGUCGUUGCAAACCACCUACUUGAUUAACUUCUUUACUCAUUUCAAUCUCACCAAUAUCAACUAAAUAUUCAAUUGUAGCUGCUUACAAAGCUUGUAAUUCAUCAUUACGCUUGCAAGAAGUACUAACAAUGUUAAUAAUAAAAAUCAAAUUCUCAAAGAAAAUAUGAACAUUAAAUAUUUCUCUAACUACAGCAAUAAGAGCUAAUUGUAAUUGAUGAGCUAAACAAUAUACAUAAUAUGCAUAAAGGCAAUCAUUAAUGAAUAAAGCUUGCAAAACAAUUCCACUCUCCACGCAUAUUAUUAGCACCAUCAUACCCUUGGCCUCUAAUAUUUUGAGCAUCAAGAUUGUAGUGAGAUAAAACAAAGGAAAUCUCUUCCUUAAGAGUUGAAGCAGUUGUAUCUUUGAUAUAAACUAUAUCCAAAAAUUGUUCUCGUAUAAAUCCAAUUCCAUCAACAAACCUAAUAACAAGAGUCAUUAGCUCUUUUCUGGAUUCAUCUCGAGCUUCAUCAACAAUUCAAUAAAAUAUUGCAUCAUCAAUCUCGUGACGAAUUGAGGAUUGAACAUUUCUAGCAAAGACAUGCAAAAUUUCUUUUUUAAUUUGAUGUGAGGUGUAUUUAGCAUUUUAUGGAGCAUUAUCCAAAACAAGAACACCUACUUGUUCAUUGUAUGAUGCUAAAAGUUCCACAAUUUCAAGAAAAUUUCAUCGGUUUUUUUAUUCUGGACGUUUAUCAUACCAUUUAAAAGCACAUACUUGAAAUGUGAGCCAACAAACAAUAUCUAUUGAAGCUUUAAUAUGUAAUUGAUCAUUUAGAAUUUCUUGAUUAGUUUGCCUCUUAACUACCUUCUCAAUAUGACAUAACUGACUUUUUAAAUUUUCCAAGUACCUGGUAGCAAAUCUAUGAGCUCAAUUUGGAUAUUUUCUCAUAUGAGUCAAAAAAACACAUUGUUCCUCAUUAUUAACUUUCUUCCAACAAUUGAAUCAUUUACCAAUAAAUGUGUCUAAUCCUAGCUUUCUAGAUGACUUACUUGUCUGAUCCUAGCUUUCUAGAUGGCUUACUUGGAAAUAGAUAGUAAGGGAAACAAAAUGCAAUAUUUUUCUUUGAAUAUUCAAGUCAUGGAUAACUUUUGAAUCAAUGAGGCUAAAAUCAAUGAGGAUAUUUUUCACCAAUCAGCAUAUAUUCAGAUAUCAAAGGUUGAUAUGGCCCUAAAUUAAUAGAUGCCCUUCGAAUUUCAUCUUAUUGAUUAACUAGGUAUUUUCAAAUUUGAGAAUGAUUGCUUGGAUCUCUAAUUAAAUGAGCAAUGUCGAUUUUAGUAGGAGGCUGCUCACUAAUCAAUGCAAGUUCUCCAUAAAUUGAAGAACAUUGGAGUUGCUCAACCAUAACUUCAACAUUACACAUUGAAGUUGGUUCACUAGGUUGUGAGUUAUCAAUAUUUUUCUUUUUUUUUUCUAAAAAAAAGAAUCAAUUCUUCUUAUUUUGUUCAUGGUUCAACCUAAAAUCAAAACAUCAUAAAUUUUUAUUAUUUCCUGUUCUAAAAAUGAAUACAAAUGAUGAUGUGCUAAAGCAAUAAUUAGAACCAAAACUAAAUUUUUACAUGUAAACCAUACUGACAUAUAAAGCAAAAUUAACAUAUUAAAAAAAAACUAAUAUAUAAAAGCAAAUUUGACAUAAAAAUAGAAUUAUUAGCCUAAAAAAGAAAAACUUACAUUGAAUCAAAGUUGGGUAUGUGCUCUUCAAAGAACUCAAUAUGACUAGAAAGAUGUGUCUAAUUGUUUAUUGGACUCGGUGAUAGUAAGGUACAUGUGAGAAAAAAAUUGGUAAUUUUGAUGGAUCUACUAAAAACAAAACAUAAAAAAAAUUCAAGCAUAAUAGAAACAAACCCAUAAAAUAUAUCAAAUUAAUUAGAAAAAAAAAUUCACCAAUAACAAGAAUUCAAAAAACAAUUGGUAAAACUAGCAAAUUUGGGGAAAAAAAAGCGAAAAAGGUAGAAUUAGAAAAAAAAAAACUCAUCAAAUUCUUAACAAAUAUCCCAAAAUAAAAUAAAAAUAGAUUUUAAGUUUGAGUCAGCAAUUGCCUUGUUUUGAUGAAAGAUGAAUUAAUUUUUGUGGCUAUGCUUCAACCUUUUCCCUUUGCUAUUUAUUUUUAUUUUUAUUUUUUACCAUUUGUAUUAGGGCUUAGAAAAAGAAGAGAAUAAGGAUAAUUGAAUUAAAAAAAGUUGUUUAUGUUUUUUCUUUCCAAGCAUAAAAUAAAAUAAAGAGUUUUAAAGUCAAAUUAAGAAUAGCAAAUGUUGUUUAAUUUUUGUAUAUAAGAAUAUAGUAUCAUAUAUUUAUAUAUAUAUUUAAAAUAAAAAAUAGCCCCUAUAUAUAUUAAUUCAAAUAAUUAAAUUUAUCAUAUAUUUAUAUAUAUGAUAUGAUAUCAUCUUCGUUCUGAUUCAUCCUUUGAUAUCAUAACAAUAAUAGUUUUUUCUAAGUAGCAACUCUAGAUUGAUCCACUUGAACUAUACGCUAAAGUGUGAACAAAACAAAAGAAAGGAAUCUAAGAAGAUGAAGGAAAGGACUUAAUUAAGCCUCGUUAAUGAAUAGUGUUAGACUGUAACUUGUCUGAAGAGCAUAAUGCUUUGCUUUAUGGUUGGAUUUUUUUUUUUUAGUUCUCGGUUAAUUAUUGUUCUUGAACUCACUGUAGAAGAAGAAUUUCUUUAGAAAGUUUCAGCUGGCUGUUUUUAGCAAGGAUUCCAAUUUCCUUGGAACUGGAGAAUUGAAGAUGAUCGUGGAAAGAUGGUCAGCUGUUGUUUGUUUUUCUGUUCUUCCCUUGCUGCAAUUUUACAAAGGUUAAUAGUAUUUCUUCUUCUUCUUUUUCCGCUUUAAUGGUAGGAAAAUUUAGAACUGUUGGAAAAUUGGAUUUUUGUAUACAAAGGGUCGUUAUGAUAUUUUUAUUAAAAAUUAACUGAUAUUUUGAAGAUUUAACAGUCAAUGACGGAAAAGGGACUAAAUCUAUUGUUUCCCAAAUUAGAGGGACUAAGUUAUUACUUCGUUAAAAACGCAGGGAUUAAAAACUAAAUUACUGUAAAGGUAUCGACAUCAGGAAUACGCGGCUGCAAAAGUCUUGGCAAUCUCCCGAUAAUUUAUAGUGUUCUCCAUCAACCUUAGAAUAUUAACAAAGUAGAAUCUUGAAGAACAGAUCAUGGCUACAGAAGAUACUUCAAUUCGCACGCUUGAACACACACCAUCAUGGGCACUCGCCACAGUUUGUUUUGUUAUCAUAUCCGUUUCAAUUGUCCUGGAGCACAUUUUUCAUCUCCUCACAAACGUAAGUACAUAUUCCCAAGAAUGUAAUUAUUUUUCCCAGGUAAAUAUGUAUCAAGCUAGCUAACAUAAAAGGGUGAUACAGUGGCUUAACAGAAGUCGAAGAACUGCUUUGGGCGAGGCAGCGGACAAGCUCAAAUCAGGUGUAAAACAUAUAUAGCUCCUUAUUAAUUGUGUAUGUUGUGCAUCCACUUCAUUAACUAACCAUUUGGAGGUGUUUUUUACAGAGUUGAUGUUGUUAGGAUUCAUGUCAUUGAUGCUGGCGGCGACCCAAAAACCAAUUUCUAAAAUCUGCAUACCAGCCAAUCUUGCGAACUCCAUGCUUCCUUGUCGUAAAGAGGUUGCAAUAUCCAAACUCACUGCAGUACAAAAUUAUGGAAACUUUGCCGGUAGUUUUGUUGGGAGUUUGUCUUCAGAGAAUGGUCUGCGUGGUAAGAAUAUUUUAUGGGGGCAUAGGAGUUUGUUAGCAGAUGACGGUGUAAAUAUUUCUGAUGAUCCUUGCAGUUCAAAAGUAUGGCUCUGCAAUUUCUUCUUUCUUCUCAUAUAUUUGGUUAGUUCUAUUCAUACAAUCUAAUUAUGAUCAAUAAUUUCAGGGAAAGGUUUCUUUAAUAUCAGAAAAAGGGAUCCAUCAGCUUCACAUAUUCAUUUUUGUGCUAGCAGUUAUGCAAAUUGUAUAUAGUGUUCUAACCAUGGCUCUGGGCUGGACCAAGGUACUUAAAACGCUCUCUUCACAUCAGGUUUAACGUGUUUUUUUUAGAAUGAAUCUAAUGUUCUUCUUGCUUACGAUACAAAAUUAAUGUUUUUGUAACAUUAUUAUCAUAGAUGAGGCGGUGGGAAGCUUGGGAGAAAGAAAGUCGGACAAUUGAAUACCAAGUUGCAAAUGGUAUGUGGUCAUCAUGCAUAAGAACUCUUUUUUCUUUUUUCAUAAUAUCAUGCGUACGUAAUGAGAAGUGGAGUGAAAUUAGAAAUCGGAGAAGUUAAUUUAUUCUCCUUCUGCAUUCUAAAACCCUCUCUCCUUGCCAGUUUUUUAGAAGAAAAAGACUGCAAGUGAUUGGUUCUUUGUAUACUCACGGAAUUAAAUACAUCAGAAUCACCACCACCAUGAGAUUUAAACGACUGAGAAGAUGAAAAAUCGACAUGAUCAUCAUAAUAGAUUAAAGAAAGGCUAUUAGUUUACGUUAUUGAUUCUUGAUUUGGGAACAUAUCAAUGGCAGUUCUUUCGUUUCACGAGCUGCAGUCCAUAUACAUGAUCAGUAGACUUGAGAAAGACCUUUUAGGCCAUGCUUGACCAAGACUGGUUCAAGUUGUGGUGCAAACUUUGCGGAUUUUUUAAGCCGUUGAAGAAAAGAAACGCGAUGACCUUAAAUGCAUGAAUUGCCACUUCGAUGAUAUUUAUUGAUACGAUGUGUCAACAUGAAAGAGAAAAGAUGGCUGUACCUGUAUGUUGAUGGAUGCUGGUUUCAUUUAUUAUCACCAACAAGUUUUCAAGUGUGUUUCGCUAUACGCAGCGGUUGAGUUUUAAAAAAACCACAAAACAAUUUAUGUUCGGUGAAGUGUUAAUUAGUGUUUUUAAAACAUGGGACCUAUGAAAAAUAAAUGAUGUGAAAACUCUAUUUUAAGAAAAGUAUCUUCCACCUGCUUUUCAAAAUCAUUUUCAUACGUAAUUUUAAUUAAAUAUUUUAUUAAACAUUUUUAAACUGUCUUUUAAUUUAAAGUUAAUUUCAACUAUAACUAAAUAUAUAUUUUAUCAAACUAACUAAAACUAAAAAUAUAUUUUUAAAAUUUUUAAAUUAUAAUUACAGAAACUAUCACAAUAUCAAACCUAAACCUAAACGAGUUAACCGGAAUUCCAAAACCCAAACCACUUGUAUUAUUGUGAACCAGCUAGUUAAUGAAAUAUGAUCAUAAAAGUGAUGACCAUGUUAUGCAAUAAUUAAAAUAUUCAAAAGAUUUUCUUUUUAGGUAAAUACUUUUUAUUUUAUGGUGAUGACCAUGUUUAAAACUUUUAAUUUGCUGCUGCUGUUGCUAAUAAUAAUAAUAAAUACAAACACUGUUAGAGAGUAAAUGUAGUAUCAACCAUCCGAAUUCACAACAGAUAAAUGCCGCUUUGAAUACUUCAAGAGAUUAAUUUAGCGGUCCUGUUUAUUGAUUAGAUCCAAAUCGAUUUAGACUCACAAGACAAACAACAUUCGGAAGACGGCAUAUAGAGACUUGGACAAACAUGUCAGCUCUUCUAUGGAUGGUGAGUUUACUUUUUGUUAUUCGUAUGAUGAUGAUGAUGAUGAUGAUGGCGGCGGCAUGAGAAGAAGUUAAGUAUUAGAGAUAAUUGGAUUACAAGUUCUCUAAUUAAUGACUGCAUUUGGAUGAACAGAUAUGUUUCUUCAGACAGUUUUUUCAUUCGGUAGCAAAAGUUGAUUAUCUCACCUUGAGACAUGGUUUUAUCUCGGUAAUGAUCUUCCAAAUACUCCAUUAAUCUUCCUGCAUUAAACUUUAUAUAACUGGUGCGUGUGUGUCAUCAUAAGUAUACAUGAGAUGAUCAAACCUGUCUUCUCCAUGCUCACUGAUGUAUGGUGAUGUGUGCACUUUUAAGGCACACUUGUCAACCAGGAACGUCAACCAUUUCAAUUUCCAAGAAUACAUACAGCGAUCCUUAGACGACGAUUUCAAGGUCAUUGUUAGCAUCAGGUAUUCUCACAAGCUAACAACUAUCCUCAUGGUUAACUAUUUUUCUUUUUCUUUUUCAUUCCAUAUAUAUAUAUAGAUCUCAUUAAACAUAUACAGAUCUAUGUAUUUAUAUAUGCCUCUUUCUGGCAGUCCUUUUAUGUGGUUUUUGGUGGCAAUUUUCUUGCUGCUGGACGUACGUGGUAAAUACGGUUUGCCGUUCAUCUUCUGUAUCCACCUUAUUUAUGCUUCAUUUUCUUUGCAAUUAUAUAUUUCUUCACGUGCUAUAUUUGUUUUCUGGGAUGUUCAGGUUGGAAUGUAUACCACUGGAUUUCCUAUGUUCCACUCGUGGUAAUUAACUAAGUUUAUUCAAGCAUUGUUAUUGAUUUUAUUACAACGGAAAAGGUAUAUGUUGUAAUCAUCGGUAGCCAUAUCUGUGCUCUGAAAGGGAAAAUAUGAGUUUAACGUACACCUUUUCCUCUUCAAAAUUUAACGAAAACCUUGUCUUGUAAUUCUUCUAUAUAUAUAUAUAUAUAUAUAUAUAUAUAUCAAGUUUUACAGCAGCCGACUUACUGAUAUUGUAGAUUGUGCUGGUCCUGGGAGCCAAACUUGAGGUGAUUGUUGCAAAAAUGGCUUUCCGAAUCGAUGAUCAAAACUGUGUGAGCAGAGGAACCCCUCUUGUUCAUCCAAAUGAUAAUCUCUUUUGGUUCGGUCAACCAAGAUUUGUUCUUGUUCUUAUCCAUUUUGUUCUGUUUGUGGUAAUUAUUCCUCCUCUCUAUAAACUAGCUAGCUAGAUCAAAAGGGAAAUACAAUAAGAAACUAAUUAAGUAGUUCGUAUCGAUGCUUUUGGACAUGCAUGGUGCUAACACUUGUUACUGAUCAACCUGUAGAAUGCAUUUGAGUUUGCCUUCUUCAUUUGGGUUGCAGUAAGUGUUUUAACCUCUCUCUCGUAUCUUUUUUCAACUCUCCUUCUUGUGAUGUAAUUUAUUUAUUUAGUUGAGAGAGAGAGAGCGUAUAACAUUUUUUUCUAGAAAGUCUAUGACAUUUUCCUACGUUUGAUCUUUUUUCCAGAUACAAUUCGGGCUUGAAUCAUGUUACCAUGAGAACACUUCAUUUAUUGUCGCAAGGGUCGUGUUAGCGUAAGAUUCUCUUUUGACAUAAUUUAUAAGAAGUGAUUUUUCAUUUUCAUUUAUAAUUUAUAAUUAUUUUUAUCAAUAAUUUAUAAGAAAUUAUUUAAAUUAGAAAUAUUUGAUUAAAAAAUGGCUCAAACAAUUUAUUUAUUUUAUUAUUUAAAUUAGAAAUAUUUUUUUAUUUUUUUAAAUUUAUAUUUUAUAUUAACACAUUAAGAUGAUCUAAAAAUAAAAAAUUAAUUUUUUAAAACAUUUUUAAAACCAAAACACAAACAAGUUCUAAAUAUCAUCAUUUUGCUCAACUCAGGAUCACAGUUCAAGUCAUAUGCAGCUACAUUACCCUUCCGCUCUAUGCACUUGUCACACAGGUAACUUAAUUCCAUAUAAUUAACGAUUCCAAAUUUGUUCUACCAACUUGUAUCCUGCUAGCUCUAUUUAACAACCCUUGUUUUUGUUCUUUUCCCCUAAAAUGAAUUUCAUCACAUAUAUAUAUAUAUGAUGAUGAUGAUGAUGAUGAUGAUGAUGGAUUUUGUAUGUAUAUAUGUUGCUAGAUGGGGUCUCAAUUCAAGAGUAAGGUACUAGAAGAGCAAGUGGCUAAUAUUAUAAAGCAACGGCAUGCUGAAGCGAGGGAAAGAAGGAAGACGCAAGAUCAAUAUUCUUUACGGUCUCCGCGUUCUGCUUUGUCUACUGAUCGGAGCAUCAAAAUGUACAGUCCCAUCAGAUCGCCAAGACCACCAAUAUUACAUGAACUCACUCUGUCAUCCAACGAACAACAGAUUGCUGCAAAAGAUAAUGAAAAACGAAGCCGGCUCAUCCAUUAAUCUGGGCAUCAUCCCGGGAAAUCAUGCUAGAAAUGAUGCAAACAACGAAGGCCGUAUUGAUCAUCAUAUUCAAAAACCAUGCAUGUUGAAGGAGAAAAUUCAUAUAUAUAUAUACACACACAACU
RNAcentral lists this long non-coding RNA (57937 nucleotides) under Populus trichocarpa (black cottonwood). RNAcentral describes it as "long non-coding RNA (PTRI_LNC001750)". The record is from RNAcentral. Lineage: Eukaryota; Viridiplantae; Streptophyta; Magnoliopsida; Malpighiales; Salicaceae.